This 55547-nucleotide long non-coding RNA is filed under the name Olea europaea (common olive). RNAcentral describes it as "long non-coding RNA (OEUR_LNC003593)". Lineage: Eukaryota; Viridiplantae; Streptophyta; Magnoliopsida; Lamiales; Oleaceae. The record is from RNAcentral.
AUAUUCUUUCUACGGUCUUCUUUCUAGAUAUCUCUGACUGUUAAAUAAAAUAAUAAAUAGUCUGUCCUUCCAUUAAGAAAUUGCAAGUUACUUUCAACAUAUUUUCUAUUUAUUUGAGAUCUGAUGAGAAACAACAAAGUGCAGCUUCUUUGAAGCCCUUUUGGUUUCUUGGGAGAUUUUCUUGAAAUUUCUUCAAAAUAAGCAGGGGAACAACGGAAGGUUCGGCGAUGGAGGAUGAGAAAGAGACUGACGAAGAAGAUUUACAAUCAAGGACUAUGUUUUGUACUGGUUCAUCCAAGCAUACACCCAAAGACAAGAUCACUUGGGCGGAUCUUGACGAUGAUUUGGUAAAGAUCAAGACUCAAAACUUGAUGCAAUCUUUAUUGUUGGAAUCGGAGGACUCGGCAAGACAACUUAGGUUAGAAAAGUUUAUAUUUAUAAAUUUAUUGCGUAUCAUUUGGUAUUAGUAUCUAAAUAAUGAUAUUUCAAAAUCAUAAAAUGAUUUACGAGAUAUGGAAUACUAGAGACAAGACGAUACGAAACAAUCAUUUACGAAUGAUGUGAAAGUAGAAUCUUGCAAACUAGUAGACUAUAAAAUAUCGCUACUAAAGGGAAAUAGAUAUCUCAUUGUCAUGGAUGAUAUAUGGAAUAUAAAGGUAUUUACAAAUGAUACAAAGUAGAUUAGUUAGUGGAUUAGAAAAUAUGGUAGAAGAGACCUCAUUGUAAUAGAUGAUGUGUGGAAUAUCGGACCUCGGAUGAUUUUAACUAUUGUAUAUACAAUUGGACUCUAGAUAAGAGAUGACAAGUCAACAAAAUCGAUUGGAUGUGAUGGUUAAUGUUCAUAAUUUUUAUUUUUUUAUUCGUGUCUUAAAUAGACAUUAUGAAGUAGAAUUUUGUUAACUAGUAAAAUAGAAAAUGUCGCAAUUGAUGACAUCUCAUUGUAAUUGUAAUGAAUGAUAUACAAGAGUCCUAAGUUUUUUGGACUAUCCUAUCAAGUGGCCAUUGUUGCAAGCUUUGGAAAAAUAUAAUUAUUCUUGGUUUAUUGCCCGAUCUUGAAAUUCUCAAACUGUUGUAUCGAUUGAGUUGUAUGAUUGUCGAGAUUCAGUAGCACAACAAAUACUGAAGCUAACAAGGUGUCAAAGUUGGCAGUACAGAAUUGUCCAAUACAUUGUUGUUCAAUUACAAAUGUUAUUCACUUUUUUGUAUUUCCUUUUUUCUCUCUACUAAUUUUGGUGCGGAUGAUGAAAUUAACUUCUUUUUUGGACUAUGGUUUUCAAACCAAUGUUUUAAAAAUCGACUCAAACAUUGACUCGAAAAAGAAAAGGGGUCAAUUUUUAAAGGGUCGAACCGGUAUGGAAUGACAAAUCAAAUAAAUAAGUACACAAAUAAGCUAUAAAAUAUCAUAACUAUAAAAAAAAUUUUAAUUUUAGUUUUCUCAUUCAAAGUAAAUGUAAUCCAUGUUUGUUAAUUAUAUUUAUUAUAGUAAUUUAUUUUAUAACCUCAAAAAUUAACAAUUAAUAUGUCAAAAAUAACUUGCUUUGUUCAAAUUGAAAAUUAUAAUUUUGUUGGUGUUUAUGAUUUGUUAAUGAAGAUAAUAAAGUAAAUUAGUCAACACUUAGAAAGUUAAAUUGGCAAUUGGUUAUUAUCUCACAUUGGAAGAUUACCAAAAUAUUAGAAGAAGAAUCUUCUUUAAAAAUGAGCCAGUAUCUCAUAUUGGAAGGUUACCAAAACAUUGGAAAAAUAGUCUCCUUUAAAAAUGAGGUAAAAGAGAAUCACUUGUAUAAAAAAGUUAGGGAAAAAUUCAUUUAUAAGAGUUUAUCUAUUCCAUAUUUCAAAACUAAGAAAAGAAGAUUUACAUUCAGUUAUUAUUAAAAUUUAUUUCUGAAAUAAUUGAUUAAAAAAAUAUUUUAUUAAUUAAACAUAUUAAGGCCAUAGAUCUAUUAAAUUUGAUCACAGUUUAUCAAAUUAAUUGAUUACAAAUUAUUUCUAAGUCACAUAUCGAAAAUUCUAUAGGUCACAAAUUAUUUAUCGAUCACAUACUGAAAAUUUCAUAGGUCACAAUUCUUUGACCGAUCACAAAAUUAAAAUUUUUAUUGGUCACAAAUAAAAUUUUUCACAAGUCACAGUUCAUUGAUCUGUCACAAAAUCAUAAUUUUAAUUGGUCAUAACUCAUUUGUCGGUCACAGAUCAAAAUUUUCAUAAGUCACAAUUAAUUGAUUGGUCACAAAAUCAAAAUUUUUACUAAUUACAAUUUAUUUGUUGAUCACAAAUUAUCAAAAUAAUUUGCCACAAUUAAUUUUACAAUCACAAAUUAUUUUUUGAUCACAAUUUAAAAAUUUUAUAGAUCACAAUUUAUUCAUUGGUCACAAAUCAAAAAUUUAUUUGUUACCACCACGCCAUGACUUUAGCAGCACCAUUGCCAAAACCACUGUUACCACCUCCCGACAGCAACAUCCCCAUCUCAUACGAGCCAACACUGCCACCUCCCCACACCACCGUCGAUAGCAAAACCACCACCUCAAACAAAUUAACCAUCAUAGAAACCACCACCACACCAUCGCAUCACUAGUGCGAGGCUGCGCCGCAAGCGAAAAGGAAGGAGAGCUAGCCACACUAACUCACCACCACCACUACCCGCACCACCGCCACCUGCACCACCUAAUUUGUAACCACAUCGCCAAUGCCAACAUUGUUUGUGACAUCGCUAUAUCCACCACAUCUAUCACCAGAUCCACCAAUAAAAAUCACCUCAAAAUCCCAAAACCAAAACAUUAAAACCCAUCACCACACAACAACACAACACCACCCGCACUGCACUCCCCACCACACCACUGUACCACACAUCCAAACACUACAUCGUCAUCACCAAGCUACUGUAGUCGCGAUCAGAGAGGCAUAGAUCGCGUUAUCUGAGUGUCGGCACUGCCGUGAGCAUCGCUUACAACAACACUCAGAAUGGCCACUAUGAGAGCUGCCUCCAAUGCUCACAACAGCGCUUAGAAGUUAGAUCAACACCUAUAAUCUUGCAGCAAAAUAGAGAGAAUUUGAGCUCCGGCACCACUGAGAUGGAGAGAAUCUGAUAGGCCCUUAGUCGCGGUAUCUGAGCAUCGACACCGUUGACGAUUUCGCAAUAGCGGCUAUGACGAUCGGUGCCGACGGAGAGAAGGAGACGUUUGAGAGAUAUAGGGUAGAGAGAAAGUGGAGAUAAAGGGUAGAAGAAAAUGAAUGAAUUAGGGCUCCGAAUGGGAUGGGUGGAUUAAUUAAUUUUUAUGGAGUAAUUAAUUAAAAUAAGCCUCCGAUUUUUGAAAUAAUAAAUUUAAUAUAUGAUUAAUGAAACUGAAUCUUUAAAUCUCUUAGUUUAUGUAAUCUCCUCUUUAGGGAAUUCGAGCCUUCAAUUGUAGUGUGUGGCCCAUUAAAAUAGUUAAAAGUUUUUGUGAAAAAAAUUAAAAUCAAUCGGGAAAAACGUGGCAGGUUUACCGGUUCACGGUUAAACUGACCGAGUUGAUAGUUUAUUAGCCGGUUCUUUAUUUUUCGGUUAAUGUAUGAGUACCGGAUCGGAUUAAAGGUGGAUUCACGAAUUUCUUGAUUGAACUGGCCAAUCCGAUCCGAUUUUUAUAACAUUGUUUCAAAUUAAACACAGUUUUUCUCCCCCAUAAUUUUGAAUGUGCUUGCUGGAAUACAAUUUUGUUUAGUCUUACUUUGGAUGGAAGUUAGAUUUCGUGAAAGCAAGAGAAAAGUUCAAAAAGUUAAACAAUCUCAAGAGAAUUAGAUUCUAUUACGUGUUGACCAUUUGCUCAUGUUUGAGUCAUAUUCCUUUAAAAUAUAUUUUUUAAACUCAUUUUUAAUGAUAUAUUCUUUCAAUAAAAUAAUUUUGCAUGUAAAAAUUUAAAAUUUUUCUCUAUAAUUUGAUCACGCUUUUCAAAAAUUCACAAUUUCAAAAUCUAUUAAUCCAAAAAAUAGGGUUGAAACAAUUAUGUUACAAGCAUUUGUAUUUUAUGCCUUCUAUAUAUUGGAGUCGAAAAAAAAAUAUUAGGCCAAAAUCAUGUUAUUGUAUAUAAUAGCGCAUGCUAUGUUGGUUAUAAAUUAAUCCUUAUUUAGUCAGUGCAUUUUUGGAAAUAUGAGUUACGUUUUAAAAUACUUAUUUGUAUGUAAAUUCAUGAUUGCCCUUCUUACUUAAUUGUCAAAUUCAAUCUGACGCCUAUUUGGUGGUAUUAAAAACAAACUUUUAGUCAAUUUUGAUUUUGAUUAAAAAAAUGAUGAAAUAUGUGGUUAAGAAGUUGUGACUUUUAUUAUGGGUGCGUGCGCGUGCGUGCAUACAUACAUUUUUUUGGUUUGUUAUUGUCAAUGAUUUAUCUUCUGUUCUGAGUUACACAAUGAAAUUUCAAUAAGUAUUGUACUUCUAACUUUGUUAAAAAAAAAAAAAAAAAUGUCUUCAACAAACCACUUAUUUUCAAAAAUUAUCCUAAUAAUCACUAAAUUUGUAAUUCAUUAUCUCAUCCAUCAUUCAAUUUUUUAAAUUGACAAUCACGUGGAUGCCAAGUGAAAAAUAGAUUGCCACGCAUGUACUUUUGUCAGUUACGUCACCAAAUUUAUCAAUUCUUUAAACGUUCAUUGAGUGAGUAAUAGAUGUGAUUACAUUUUGCAAAGUUCAAUGACUAAUGGGGAAACAUUUGAAAUUUAGUGAUCCCUUGAAAACUAUUCGUUAAGUUCAUUGACCAAUCAGGUAAUUAACUCCCUUUUUAAUUAUUGUUAGAGAUUCAAGGGAACAAGCAUGAUAUUUUGAUUAAGCUUUAGAUUAGGGUAUUUAUCUUGUUGCAAACUAUUGUUUCUAGUUUGUUUUUUAUUUGAUUAAAAGAAAUAAUAUAAUUGAGAGUUUUACUUUAGCGCUCUGUAAUCCGAAUCGUUAUUAUGUGAAAUCGACGAUGUAUUAAUUAAGAAUCAAUUCUUGAUAUUUAUGUGAGGAAAACCGAAUUUUGAUUAUUAAGUUUCUGAUAUUUUUACAAAGAACUAAGGAAUAUUUAAUUAUUUUAUUUGUAAUUGCCUUUUGCUAUAUUAUAUAUAUCAAGAUUUUCAAUUUUUGCACACAAGGUGCGUAGGCUAACCUUAAUAAAUUGAAAGAAGUUUGUGGUUGCGCUUGUCGACAAUGUUGAAAGAUGUAAAGUAGAGGUAGUUGUAGCAACGGUUUCGAAAUUUUGUUUUUUAAGUGGAUUUUUCAUUAAUCUUCAAUUUGUGCAGUUCCAUAUCUUUCAAAUAGUCACAUUACUAGAAGGCGAAAAACGUCAGUGCAUUCGUUAGUUGACCUAAAAAAUUAACCAAAAAAAAUUGUAUUUUUUUACCAACUAUACCAUAUACAUUUUCAUCCCUUCCUAUUAUACUCUCAAAAAUAAAAAAAUGUCAAUUAUUUAUACAUUUUCACUUCCGAUUAUUUCAUGAUAUGAUUGUAUACGAUCAUCUUCUAAAUAGAUUCUAAAGAAACCCAUGUUCUCGAUGACAAUCCUUUAGAUAUUGCUUGUCGUCUAUUAGGCGUUCUUUUUGAACCUGUGUACAGUUAUUGUUGUUGGAAUUUAAAAAAUUCCUGGUUUGGGCAUGAUGGUUAUUUGUUUUCCAAGGAAAAUCCUAGUUAUUUCAACAUAAGGCAACAACAUGGUGGAAUGUUAUUCGGAAAGAUGUGAAAUUUUGCGUAUGAGCAUGGUAAAAUAAGUUAUUUAGACUACGUGUACUUCGAUUUCUUUAAUAAAUUUUUCUAGGCAACACCAUGAAGAUAUUGGAGUAUUUUCAGAAGAUGAAGUAUCUUUAUAAAAUUGAAAAGAGGAGAUCGAGUGAGGCAUCAUUCUGAUUGGUAACUGAUGUAGAUUUUAUGAAUUUAGUGAAGGUGCUUGAUGAAAAAAGGACAGCUGAGUUGUAUUGUUUUUCUGCAGUUGAAGUGUUGGAAUUGUCAUGGAAUGAAACUUUAAGUCAUGAUAUUUUUGUUGUUGGUGUUGUUGAAAUCGGUAAACAUUAGGAGAAUGUGGAUGAGAUUUUUGGAAAAACUCGUGACAAAGAAAUUGAGCAGAAAUCAUGUUAUACUGUUGAGAUUUAUGAUGAGACGUUAGAGGGUGAUGAAUUGUAUGUUGCUGAUGAAGUUGGGAGUGAAAGUGCAUAUGAUGAAAUAGAAGUCAAUGAUGUUAAACACAACUAUGGGAGAGCAAAGGCUGAAUCACCAACAACCGGAAAUUAAAACAUGAGCUACUCAUGGGGCUACGUCAGAGGUAACUGAGGUUGAUGAACCUUAGGAUGAAGUCUAUGAGGCUCAAAAUCCUACUGAUGAAGUAAGUAGCCAAAGAAGAAAGGCUGAAGUACGUGGUGAUGAAACAGAAGUAAAUGGGGGAGGAAACUCAUGUUGGUGAAGUUGAGAUGGUGGGUGAAGAGGUACGUGUUGAUGGAGUACCUGUGAUGGAGGAAACUCAUGCAUUUUUCUCAAUUCUUUUCAACCACAUAUUUUUCAUUAAAAUAAUAUUAUACGUAAAUAAAAAAAAUUUCAUCCACAUAUUCUCCCUCAAUCUACUAUUCUAAAAUUUAUUUUUCCUUCAAAAUGAGUGUCAAACACCCUCUUAGUAACGAAUUUUAAAAUAGCGUAGCUCAUACUUUAGAAUUGGGUAAUUAGCACAAAAUGUCCAUACCUUUCAAUGUUUUUUGAAAAGGUCCCUACUUUUUUUUUUUGGCGGAUUACACCCUCACCUUUACUUUUUUUUUGCGCAAAACGUCAUUCUGUCAACUCCCCGUUAAAAUGCUCCGUUAAAUAAAAACGGUAAUUAGCACAAAAUGUCUCUACCUUUAAAUAUUAUUGUGCAAAAUAUUUUUACCUUUCAUUCUUCUUAGUAUAAUUAGUACAAAAGGUCCAUACCUUUCAAUGUUAUUGUACAAAACGUCCCCACCUUUUAUUUUUAGCAUUUUCACCCCACCUUUUACAUUUUAUUGCGCAAAAUGUCAUUUUUAUAUAUUUUUUCAAUAAAAUGAGGAUUUUACCCUCCUAUUCAAAUAAAACAAAAAGAAAAGAAAAGAAAAAUAAAUAAUUAAUUGUAAUCAUAGUCCUAAAUCUUUCAAAACAUUAUAGACAAGUCCUAAAUUCUCUACUACCCCCACUUUCACAACCCAUCACGCCACCACUUAUUGAUCCAUAUAGCGCCAUCUUUUAGCCACAACACCUAUCGGACUCCACCACCACCAGCCUAGCCCCACUCUCCCCAAUAUCCUCCUCCAUAGUAUUGGUCACCAAUCUAUCUGAAACAACCGCAUUUACGGUGGUGGAGUUCGUGGGCAUGGCAGUCGAAAGGUGGUGUUAUGUGGAUUUAUAGUUGGCAGUUUGAUAGGUUGUGAAAGUGGUGGUGGUUGAGAAUUUAUGAUUUCUUUGUAAUUUUUUAAAAAUUUAAGGACUAUGAAUGCAGUUGGUAAUUCAUCUUUUCUCUUUGUUUUAUUUGAAUUGGAGGGUAAAAUCGUCAUUUUAUUGAAAAAAUGGAUGAAAAUGACCUUGCGCAAUGAAAGGUGAAAGGUAGGGGUGAAAAUACUAAAAAAUGAAAGGUAUGAACGUUUUGCACAGUGACAUUGAAAAUGUAGGGACCUUUUGUGCUAAUUAUGCCAAAAAAUGAAAGGUAGUGACGUUUUGCACAAUAAUAUUGAAAGAUAUGGACAUUUUGUGCUAAUUAACUUUUGAUUUAACGGAGCAUUCUAACGAGAAGUUGACAGAAUGAUGUUUUGUGCAAAAAAAAAGGUAAAGGUAAGGGUGUAAUCCGCCAAAAAAAGAAAGGUAUGGAUCUUUUCCACAAAAAUAUCGAAAGUUAGGGAUGUUUGGUGCUAAUUACCCUUUAGAAUUUAUUAAAACUUUUAAAAAGAUUAAAUUAUAUAUAUGCCCUUUUAGGUAAAUUUUCAAUUUAUAAUUUGUUGUACUAAUUUUUUUUAUUUGUAUAUAUUACUUAUAAAAAAAAAAAUAACAAGUAUCAAUUUUUUCACUCUCUUAUGGACGAUGCAAUAAAGAAAGGGUUAAAAUCGGAGAAAAAAACCCCCAAGCAUUAGGACUGUAAGUAAAAAUCGUAAAAUCGAAAAAUCGAACCGAAACCUUAUUCUAGAAACCUUCGGUUUGGUGCCACAUGGACCCAAUCAAUGAAAUGGUUUUGAACCAAAUCAAACCGGUCAAAAUAGUUUGGUUUAGGUUUGAGAAUUUUAAUUGCGGUUUAAAAUCAAACCAGACCGACAAAAAAAUAUAUAAAAAUAAAAAAAAUGGAAAAAUGAAUUUUUUUGAAAAUUCAUCCAAAUAUGUAAAAUUCAAUAGUUUUGUCAUUUGUGAAUAUUUUUGUCAAUUUCUAAUUUUCUAAUAUAGAUAUAUUAUUAUUAUCAAAUAAUCCUAAUUUAUAUCUAAUAAUUUCAAGACUAACAUAAUCUAUCAAAAACUCUUUUCCUAUUUAGAAUUUAGAUGAACUCCAACCGAUACCCAACACAGUCUUGAGCUACCGGCACCACACACUUCUUUUUCAGAUUUUUCACGCCUCUUCAAAGUUGAAUUGAAAUCUAUUAUAUCAAAUCGGAGACAAAGAGAUCCUAUACUUUUAGUGAUAAUAUUUGUUACAAAUAAAGUUUCAGAUCGAUAAUUUUUUUGGAGAAAACUAAGAUAAAAAUAUGAAAUUAAAUGCGUUUUGUAAUAUCAGACAAACGUAAACUUGUGUAAUUGUUAUAUUUAGAUAUUAUAAACAAUCGCUUUAUUAUUGUGGUUGGUUAUUUUCUUUGUCUAAUUAGUAUCAUUUUUUCAGAUAUGAUGAUUACCAGGUCUUGUUGGACAUCAUUAUGUUUUUUGACCUUAUAUUUAGUUUAGUAGACUUAUAUUAUAACGUUAUUAUAUCAUCAUUAGUCUAAAAAAGGUGAAUAAAAAUGAAAAAAAAUUAUGUUUUAAUUUAUUGUGAUUUCACUUUAAUUUAGUUGGUAUUUAAAUUUAUAAUAGAUAUAUUUAGCUCCUAUUUGAGCUAUAUUUUUCAUAUCAUUAUAAUGAGAAAAUUGACUAUUGGAGAGAAGGGUGGGUCCCACACAUGAAACAUCAGGUGAACAAAGACAGUUGGACUUGUAAUAUAUCAACCCCAAUUUUCAUUUUUUUGUCCCAAAAAAUUUGGUUCAAACAGGGCUUUAAUUUGUUUUAGAUUUAUUGCUAGUAAGAUAUAAAUAUAUAUUGAAUUCAAUGAAUUAAUGACAUAAAAGUAGUCAAGCAAAAAAUAUAUGGCGAAAUCGGACCAAACCGUUAGGUUUAGGUUUGAGUUUUUUUUUUCAAACCGUUCAAAAUGGUUCGAUUUAGAUUUGGGUUUUUCUCAAAUCAAUUUAAAUGAUUUGGUCUAAAAAUCUGUCAAAAAUCGAUAAAAUCGAACCACUUACACCACUACCAAGCUGGGCACGCCGGUACGGUAUAUGAAAAUGCAAGGCAUAGUGAUAGUCAUCGAUUUAAUCAUAUUAAUUAAAGGAGUAACCCAGCUGAAUGACACGUACUCAUAUACGUGUCGUAUCGCUUGACGUGUGUCCGUUUCAAACUCUCUAAAUACCAUGCAAGAACAGCCCAAUAACUCCAUUCACCUUGACUCAUAAACUUCCAAAUCUUCCAUUAGUUCAAGCAAAACAUUAGUUCAAUUUUUACCAAAUUGAAAAUGCAAGGCAUAGUCACCGAUUUAAUCAUAUUAAUUAAAGGAAUAACCCGGCUGAAUGACACGUACUCAUAUACGUGUCGUCUCGCUUGACGCGUGUCAGUUUCAAACUCUCCAAAUACCAGUAUACCAUGCAAGAAUAGCCCAAUAACUCCAUUCACCUCGACUCUUAAACUUCCAAAUCUUCCAUUACUUCAAGCAAAACCAUAGUUCAAUUAAGCCCAAUUCAACAAAAAUGGCGUCUCACGAUCAAAGCUACAAAGCUGGUGAAGCCAAGGGUCACGCUCAGGUUAACUUAUAAACGUUUCUAAUUCUGCAUCUCAAGAAAAAUUCUAUCUUAAAUGAUUUUCAGAAGAGCAGUUCAGACUUUUAUAUUUUGUGUAUAUAUUUCAUCAUUAUUCUAUAUGCGAUGUAUUCGUAGGAGAAAACUGGGCAAGCUACGGAUACAAUGAAGGACAAGGCACAGAAGGCCAAAGACACAGCUUCAGAUAUGGCGCACUCCGCCCGGGAUCGAACUCAACAAAACAAGGACCAAACUGGCAGUUAUCUUUCAGAGAAAACCGAAGCCGCGAAGCAGAAGGCAUCUGAAACGGCCCGGGGGACAAAGGAGGAGGCAUCUGAAACUGCCCACGCGACGAAGGAGAAGGCGUCGCAAAUGGAAGAAUCUGGCGAGGAAACUGCACAAGCAGGCAAGGAGAAAACUGAGGGAACUAUGCAGAGGGCUGGGGAACAAAUUAAGAGUAUGGCGGGAGGAGCUGCUGAGGCUGUGAAGCAUACUUUUGGCAUGGGUGAAACUGAAGAGGAUCCAUGUAAUAAGAGGGAUAAUUAGUUAGUUUUUGUAUUAAUUUCUGGGCAUGUUUUUGAGGCUCGUAGUCCUGCUUUUGGAUACUAAUAACUUGUAAUAAUAAUGUCUCAACUCUGUUAUAAAUGUGACCAGAUUUUUAAUUAUGUUAAUCUAAUCUAUAUAAUUUAAAUUAUUUUUAAAUAAGUUAUUUAAAAAUCAAUUAUUGAAUUUAUAAAUAAAGUUUCUAUGGAGCUUUAUGUUUUUUUCUUCAAAUAAAUGACCCUGGUUACAUUUGCGUGUGAUAGCACCAAAUCAAACCCAACACUGCGAUUGCUCCACCCACGGACAAAUCAUUCACCAUGGUUGAUUGAUUGUGUCAGAAAGACUUUUAUUCCAUCGUCUCAAUCGUCCCCCCAGAAGAAUAUUUGCAUCUAAAAGAUCUCUCACUAAUGGCUCCAACCCCUCUUCGCCUCAGGAAAGGAGGCCUUCUUCGUCUUCCACCUAAGCUGGGUAGGAGAGGCCCAAACCUUGCGUAGGAAGGCUCAAACCCAAUACCAGUGACUCAAUAAUAUACCCACAAAAUCAAGCAGAAGAAUAUUUGCAUCUAAAAGAUCUCUCACUAAUGGCUCGAACCCCUCCCCCCUCUCGAAAGGAGGCCUUCUUCGCCUUCCACCUAAGCUGGACAGGAGAGGCCCAAACCUUGGGUAGGAAGGCCCAAACCCAAUCCCAAUGACUCAAUAAUAUAACCCACAAAAUCAAGAUUGGUGGAUGCAAUUGAAUCUGAAGAAGAAAGGUAACACUUAAGAUCACAACCUCAUGGCACCAAGGGAGUAAAAGAACGGUUGUCUCUCAAUCUCAAUCGCGUCACACGGCUAGUAUGAAACAGGAGGCACACGUGUAUAGUUUUAGGGCCAGACAUUAUAGGCCAAAACCGAACACAUGACCGGAGCCAAGUGAAUUGGGCUAACAUAAGAUUGGCCCACAAAUGGCAAAGUGGGCUAACAAAUUGAAGUGCGAUCCAACUAAUGAAUGGAUCACAAGCAACACAAAUUUAUUUAGGGGCAAUUUACAAAAAUAUCCUUAAAAUGAGGGAUCUUUUGAAAAAUCAUAAAAGUUUUUUGGAAGAAAAAAAUACUAUGUAAUAUUAAAAGUGACACAAUGUCACUUUUAAAAGUUAAGUGUCACUUUUUAAUAAAAGUGAUGUUGUGUUUGUCACUAAAAAAAAAUGAUAGAAAUCAAGAAGGUUACUAAAAAAAAUUGACAAACACUACAGAAAGUGAUAAAAAUUCAAAAAAUUGACAAAUAUUUAAAAAAACAUGAUGAGUUCAAAAGUUGAGACAAACUAAAAAAGUUAUACAUAUGAAAAAAAAGUGACAAACACUCGAAAAAUGAUUAUUCGAAAAAAAAGUGACAAACUCAGGAAGCAAGUUCAAUCUUGAUUUUAUGAUUAAUAAAUAUUAUUGGACCAGUGAAUUGUACAUUUUUCCAAGUUAAAAGUGUCUUUACAUAAAUAAAUAUGAAAGAGUCACGACAGAGACAUGAGUAUCACCAAUUUGCUAAUCAGAAGGCAACUUUCUAAAAAAUUAUGAUCCCACGUCUAGAAAUCUAGUGUACAAUACAGAACACAAAUUCAAGUUUUGGCAUUUAAAAUUAUGAUCCCACGUCUAGAAAUCUAGUGUACAAUACAGAACACAAAUUCAAGUUUUGGCAUUUAACUGACACCAUUAUGCUUUCAUCAUUUAGUACUAAAAAGCCUUUAAAAUGAUAAAUUCCUCCUCGGGCAGAAAUGAAAUCUAUGGUUAAUUGAUCACACUAAGAUUCUAGAAAGAAUUGUUUUCAGAGUUAUAUCGAAUUCUAUUGUGGUGGGCGAACGAGAAUUGUUGAUGUGCAUACAUCGCCAACACCAAUAUGAAAUGAAAGAGGCUUUCCACGAUUAUAGCUGCUAUUGAAAACCUUCACAAUUGAUAUAUACAACCCACAUUAACAAGAAAAUAAUUCUAAGAUAGCAGUAACAAACCCACACGAGCAAGCAUCAAAGUUUGCUCUAGAGUUCAAUCCAAUUGUGCAAAAUGCUAUAUUUGAUCGAAGGUGAAUCCGACCAAGCCUCUCCAGGACCAUCAAAAUUUUAGGCCUGUGCCUUAACAUCGGGACAACUUUGGAAAUAGCUGGUAGAUUCUUCCUAUUUUUCACAAUAGCCCUUCUUAUUAAAAGUACUAUAUUGCCCUUAAUGAAAUUAUUUACAAGAUCUAUCUUAUAUCUUUAAGGAAUUGUCAAUCAGGUCCUAUAUCUAUAUUUUUCAAUUUUUUGAACACCUUUAAGUAUUCUUUAUAUUUUAAUAAUUCUUCAAAAAUUAUAGGUUGUCUUUUCUUGGUUUUAUAUCCUUGAAAUAAUCCUUCUGAGAUUUCUUCUUGUAUAUUAGUAUGUUUAGUUAUAAUAUCUUCUACUUUUCUUAUUUCUCUAUAAGUUCUCACAGAAUCAAAUCCUAUAUUAUUCUUACAACUAUAAUCUAUAUCUCUAUAUAUCUUCAAUUUUUUCUUUACCAAUAGGAAAUAUAACAUCAGAUUUUACAUCUAAUUUAACCAGAAAAGAAACAUCUUCUUCAUCUAAAAAUAAAAUGAGAUUAUUUUCAUCAUUAACAGUGGAAGUGGAUGCUUGUGAAUUGUUCAUGAAAAUAAUUAAAGCAUAAGCAUGUAAAGAUAAGUAAAUAACUUACAGUAAUCAAGUGGAAAUAAACAGGUUUUCCCUCCAGUAUGUUCUUAUAGAUGCUUUGCAUGUACUUAAUCAAUCUUCUGAAUCAAGUAAAGAUUUAAAAUGUUUUUGAAAUCAUUUGGGUCCACAACUGCUUCCGCAAAAGGCUUUUCAAUUAGGGUUGCAUUUCUCAUUCUAGAGAACUAGCCGUGUUUCCACAGACGCUAUCUCACAGUAUCCAGAGUCUCUGUUUUCACCUCUAUCCAACCUCUUUUCAGAAUCAAGUUCCUACUUGGAAUGAAAUUUUAAAAGAUAACUCACACACAAAGUGCUACAAAUUUUUUGUUAGAAAACUGCCUUUUUCCCCUAAACAAUUCAUCAAAGACGGGUACUUUAGCAUGGCUAACAUCCAUUCAAAAUCAAUAUUUUGAAAAUCUUUUAAAAUCUCUAUCUGUACUACCGAGGAAUCAUGAGAAACUUAACGAAAUCCUUUUAUGUAAGCUUUGUUGAACAUAACAAACUUUACUUUGAUAUUCAUAAACUGAAAUUGUACAUGCUUACAAACUAUAUUUACAUACCUUUGGUACUCACCUUAUGAAGUUUAGAACUCCAUAAGUGAUUACCUUAUUACACGCUUUCCUAUCUUCCAAUUAUCUAAUAUUUUUCUGAAUACAAGUAGUCUAUACAGAUUACAAGAAAUUUUUCUCCAAUGUGUUAUCAGAGAAUAGAGAUAGAUUUUUCGAGAUAUCUUCCUCCUUCCUUCAUGCCUCCUUUUAUAGAAGAUUUUGGAAUCUUAUCUUGGACAGGUGUUUUCCACCUUUCUUUGUUGGGUAGUUAGGCCAUCUUAUCUCCACCGAAUUCUUCAUUGUCUUUUUGAUGGGUGGACCUCUUAUCUUGAAAUUGGAUGCCUUAUCUUUUAUCUUUGUCUGCCACUUGUGACCAUUGGUAGGAAGUAGUCACAAUUAUAGAGACUUUUCUUGAUUUAUCUUCUGUCUUCUAGUAGCCACAGUUUUUCUUUAAUAAAUUUCUUUAUUAAAGUAGUGAUAAAGGGCUACUUUAGUCACCAUCACUUCUCCAUUUUCGAAUCAAAGAAUUCUGCAGGGAAUUCUUCAUCAUUAAGUGAUGAUUGACUCAUAUAUUCAACAACACAGUAUUUACAAUGGUGAUCACUGUAAUUUCAAAGUAAUUUGCAUAGUUCUUUAGCCAUAUCUUCUGAUCCGUGUACUUGGUUGGAUAUAAUUGCAGAUAAUAAAUGAUCAAGAUAACAAAUAUCUUCUUCUUUGGUAUCCAUCCUUGCAUUGGAAUAAAUAAUAUGAUCUUCAGAUGGAUAAACCCAUAUUUUUUAUUUUUCAGUAAUUAUUUGAGUUAUAUGUUCAAAUAUCUCUUUAUACCCUUUUGGCUCUUCUAUAGGGCAUCACAUUAAGAAUAUCUUGAUAUCCAUUUUUAACAACCUUUUGAUUGGCUGGUAAAAAAUGUUGAUUUGUUAAUCCCAUUUUGAUCACAUGGAACGAUGGAUGUAUAUAUUCAAGGACAGAAUCCCAUUCCAUUGUUGCUGAAUGGAAUCUGAUAUAUAUAUUUGUUGUUUUAACAACUUCAGUAUAUCUCUUGACAGCUUUCCUGAUGUUGGCUGGAAGCUGAGCUAUUUCCUUGAGAUCUUUACUAGGAUAUAUACAAAGUAUAUUUCCUAUUUCAAAGCAAUUUCGAACCCAGUUGGCUGGUGCUCCUGAAUAAAAGUUUAUCUUGUUGUAUUUCGAAUAGUGGAGAGUCUUCAUCCACUUUCCAAUCUCCAGAUACCAAUCUGAUAGAAUAUUAAAAAUAACAAUAAAAAGUGUUACUUCUUCAUGGUUAUCUUUUUUGGGCAUUUUUGCUUCAUGGCAUAUCUUGACAAUAUCUUUGGGAUCUAUCCUUUCAAUAGAAAGUUUAGAUUGAGUUUGGCUCUGUGAAGAGCUACCUUCUCUUUUGAUAUCUUGAAUAUCUCUAUUACCAGUAAUAUGUUUAAGUAUUCCCUGUGAAGGGGUUCCUAUUACCUUCUUUUCUUUCCCUUUAUUCUCGGGGAGAGAGCUAGUAUUCACAAGUCCCUGCGAAGGGAUACUAGUCUUGGUACAAGUAACUUUUGCAUCAUGGGCUAAAUUCUUGCCUCGAAGGCUAUCUUGGAUAUUUUGAAUUUGGGUUUCCAAAUAGGAAACUUUUAUUUCAAGUAUCUGGACUUUCGUCCUUAAUUGUUCUAGCUCCAUCCCUGCUAAGAUAAUCAGGAAGAAAGUUAGCUUUUCCUUUAAUAUAUUCAAUAUCAAAUUUAAAAUAUGAAAACCAAAUCUGUAUCCUAAUUAUAUAUCUAUUAGAUGGAUCAACAUUAUUUUUCAAGAAUGCUUUAACUUGAGUAUUGUCAGUUCUAAUCAAAAACUUCUUUGGUAAUAAAUAAUCUUCAUAUUUUUGAACUCCUCUUUUUACAGCAAUGAGUUCCUUUCUAUUCGUCUCAUAUCUUGUUUCAACUUCUUUGAAUGUCCCUGAUGUAUAACCUGCAAGUAUCUCAGGGCAACAACAAUCUUUUUCACAUUUAUAUUUUUUAUAAUUCUUUUUAACCUUUAACACUGCUCCCCAGUAGUAAUCUGAAGCAUCAGUUUCCAGGAUAAAAAAAUUUUCUUCUUGGGGUAUUACAAGUUUAGGCAAUACCUUUAAUUCUUCUUUUACCUUUCUUAUAUUUUCACAAUCUUGCUCUUCCCAAGACCACAUUAUAUUUUUUCUUAAUUUUGGAAGAAAAUAAUUUUUCAAUUUAGCACAGUUUUCAAUGAAUCCUUCAGCAUAAUUUAAUAUUCCGAGGAAGCUUUGUAAUUGUUUUUUAUCUUUGAUUUCUUCAGGAAAUUCUUGAAGUUUUUCUCCAAUAUGGGAUUGCAAUUGCAAUUCUCCUUCUUUUAUAAAUAAUCCUAAGAAUUCUAUUUUUGUUUUAGCUAUCUCAGCUUUCUUUUGAGAAAGUGUAAUACCAUGUUUUUUCAUAAUAUAACAGAAUUUCUCAAGAUACUCAAUAUGUUCAUCAAUAUUAUUUGAAUGAAUAAGUAUAUCAUCUACAUAUGCAAUACAAAAAUGAGUAAUUGGUUUGAUUACCUCAUCCAUUCUUCUUUGAAAUAUCUGUGGUGCAUUUUUCAACCCAAAUGGCAUUACAUUCCAUUCGUAUUGUCCUAAAGGAUUGGGGGUACUAAAUGCAGUUAGAGAUUUACUUUCUUCUGUAAGCAUGAUUUGCCAAAACCCUGACUUACAAUCAAAUUUUGAAAAAAUCUUUUUGUUUUGUACUUGUUUAAUAAGGGUAUCCUUAUUUGGCAAGUANNNNNNNNNNNNNNNNNNNNNNNNNNNNNNNNNNNNNNNNNNNNNNNNNNNNNNNNNNNNNNNNNNNNNNNNNNNNNNNNNNNNNNNNNNNNNNNNNNNNNNNNNNNNNNNNNNNNNNNNNNNNNNNNNNNNNNNNNNNNNNNNNNNNNNNNNNNNNNNNNNNNNNNNNNNNNNNNNNNNNNNNNNNNNNNNNNNNNNNNNNNNNNNNNNNNNNNNNNNNNNNNNNNNNNNNNNNNNNNNNNNNNNNNNNNNNNNNNNNNNNNNNNNNNNNNNNNNNNNNNNNNNNNNNNNNNNNNNNNNNNNNNNNNNNNNNNNNNNNUGUAUCAACAAAUACUUCUCUAAAAGAGAUUAGAAAAGGUACUUGAGAAGCAUACUUACUGUAUAUUACCUUAUUUCCUCCUGCUGUUGUAGCAGUUAUUACCUUCUUUGAAUUAUAUUUCCAGUUUUCAGAUGGCAAUACAUUUGGUAAGCAUAAGCUUAUUGUACUUCCUGUAUCUAAAUAAGCAUGAAAUUUAAUUCUACAAUAAUUUUUUAUAUUGAGUGUAAUUUCAAUAUAUGGACUCAUGGGAUUAGUACUUAUUAUUCUUUCCAUGAUAACAAUGAUUUCAUAUUUUCAUCUAUUCUUGGAGUGAUAAUUGGAUUAUCGUCAACUGUUAUUUUCAAAUAUCCUUGCCAGAUUUUAUAAGGACUAUAUUUCUCAAGAAAGUUCAUUCCUAUUAGAAUAGGUGAACGGUCCACUCCAUAUAAUUCAUCUUUACAUAGAAUUAUUUCUUUAGUAUAUUCUUUCUGAUCCUCUCCUACAAGUAUAAGCGGAAAUUUAACAUAUUUUCUUAUUUCAAGAUUAUUUCCUAAAUAAUCCUUAAAAAUAUAUGGUUCUGGUAUUUCAAAAUCUAUUAGAUGAUUAACAAACUUGGCAUUUACAUGACUUUUAUCUGCUCCAGUAUCUAUAAGGACAAGAAGAUUUUUCUUAAAUCCUUCUUGGUUUACAUAUCUUGUCUUAAUGUAAUAUUGUGAACUUGAUGGUUCAGCAAUACUUAAAUUUUUAAGUUUGCUUAUCCUAGAGUCUUGUCUAGAGGGAAAUCUUGCAAUAAGAUUGUCUCCUUCUAAGCUGACACUAUUUCUUCUUAUUAAUUUUCCUUCAGAAUUAAUUUCUUUUGCUUGUUUAUGAAAAUCAAGCAUUAUUUGUUCUGGUAUUGUUACUUCAUGUUCUUGGUAUUUCCUAGGAGGUAUGUAUUGUGCUAAUUCCUCAAAAUCUUUAUGUAUUAUUAUGUUAUCAGUAAUUUUCCUUAAAUUGUGAUGAUGGCUAGUACUAAAAGCAAAAAUUGAUUUUAUGCUUAUACUAAUAGCCUUACUUCUUCGUAACAUUUUUAAAUUUCCAAUUCUAUGAUAUAGAUUGAAACUUUGAUCAAUAUUUUCAUCACUCAAUGAUAUGGCAUAAUUUGGUUUUACUGUAAAUAUUAUCUUUUGAUAGACUAAAUUUCCUACAACUGUUCCUAAUAGAGCAUCUAUAGGAUCUUGUAAGAUUCUAUUGUCCAUACAGUAUAUUUCUAUUGGUAUAUUCAUACCUUCUCUAAAAAAUCCUUUUACCAUUAUCUGGACUCCUCCUAAUUCAAUACAUUUUAAUUUGUCUCUUACAUUUUCUGGGAUUUUAGAUAAUUUUUGUUUUACCCAUUCUUUUGUGAUUAUAGGAAUUUUUGCCUUUCUUAUAGUAUCUUCUAUAUUGAUAGACAUUUCUUUAUAAUUCAUACUUACAAUUGUUUUAUUUACCCUUGGUAAAAUUCUUAAGAAUCCUUGAUGAAAUACAUCUUUUUCUUGUAGAUCUAAUAUCUUCUUAGUAAUUCCUGCGUAUUUUUUAAUGUCAAAAGUAAUCUCUUGAUUAAUACCUUCUAUAGAAUCUUCAACUUCUUCAGUUGUUUCUAUUUCCAUUUCUGAUUGUUGUAUCUCUUGAUUCAUAUAUACUAUUUCCUCAUAAUCUUCUUCUGAUGAAGAUGUAUCUAAUUCAUAAAUACUACUACAUUCACUAUUUAAAUCUCCAAAAUAUUCAAUUGGUUCUAUAUCACCAUCUUCUUGAAAUUCUUCGUAAAUUCUAAGAGUUUUUAUAUUUUGUUUAUCUUUCUUUUUAGGACAUUGAGGGGCAAUAUGUCCUUCUUCAUUACAAAUAAAACAUCUACAUUUUUUAAUGUUUCUUGGUUUAAAUUUCUUUUUCCAAUUUCUUUUCUUGAAAUAUUUUUUAUGUGGUUUAAAAUUCCUUUUAUUGAAUUUUUUAUAGUUUUUGAACUUCCUUUUAUAUUUUUUAUAUGGUUUAUAUUUCUUCUUAUGACAUCCAAAUUGUUCAACUUGGCCAUUAUCUUUAUAACAAAAUAAUGAAUUCUUUCUUAUUUUAUAAGUUUUCUUAUUUUCUAGUGCUUCUCUGCACCACAUUCCUAUCAUUCUUCUUGUAAAUUCAAUUGUACUUCCAAAACUAUCUAUUUCUACUUCUUCCUCUUUUCCUAGAGGUAGUAAUUUUUCAUAUUCUUUUAGUAACUUAAUUCCCCAUGGGAAUGGUAACUUGGUAAAAUAUGACCUUAAAAUAGGUUUAUUUUCCUAAUAGUCUCCUUGAUUAAGUAUAUAGUAUAAUUCUUCAAAUUUACAUGUAUAUCUUUCUAACUCACACAUANNNNNNNNNNNNNNNNNNNNNNNNNNNNNNNNNNNNNNNNNNNNNNNNNNNNNNNNNNNNNNNNNNNNNNNNNNNNNNNNNNNNNNNNNNNNNNNNNNNNNNNNNNNNNNNNNNNNNNNNNNNNNNNNNNNNNNNNNNNNNNNNNNNNNNNNNNNNNNNNNNNNNNNNNNNNNNNNNNNNNNNNNNNNNNNNNNNNNNNNNNNNNNNNNNNNNNNNNNNNNNNNNNNNNNNNNNNNNNNNNNNNNNNNNNNNNNNNNNNNNNNNNNNNNNNNNNNNNNNNNNNNNNNNNNNNNNNNNNNNNNNNNNNNNNNNNNNNNNNNNNNNNNNNNNNNNNNNNNNNNNNNNNNNNNNNNNNNNNNNNNNNNNNNNNNNNNNNNNNNNNNNNNNNNNNNNNNNNNNNNNNNNNNNNNNNNNNNNNNNNNNNNNNNNNNNNNNNNNNNNNNNNNNNNNNNNNNNNNNNNNNNNNNNNNNNNNNNNNNNNNNNNNNNNNNNNNNNNNNNNNNNNNNNNNNNNNNNNNNNNNNNNNNNNNNNNNNNNNNNNNNNNNNNNNNNNNNNNNNNNNNNNNNNNNNNNNNNNAAAAUUUUGUAUAAUAUUUGGAUCUAGAUUUAUUAAAAAUUUAUGAUCUAUAUUUUCUUGAGGACCUAUUUGAAAGUUUUUAGGCAUUGUAGUGGCUUUGGUUGCAAUAUUUUUAUUAAGGGUAUUUUUGGAAAAUUGAUUGUUUGAAGGCUAAUUUUCAAAUGUUUUUAUUUCUUAGACUAAUUUGGAAAAUCCUCCUUCAAUUUAAGCUAUUAAGCUGUAUUUCCCCUUAACAUCCUCCUCUACUAUCCCCCACAUACAUCUUAAAUCACUCAACAAAAUUCUAUCAAAUGGAACAAAUAAUAAUGGGAGAAUUUCAAUAAUUUCUAGACAAAAGCAAGAAGUAGUAUUUCAAAACUUUACCCUCCAUUUGCAAUUUCAUUGUAUGGAUUGCAAAAACUUGGAGAAUGGACACUUAUGCAGAAAGUCUUCAUAUUUACAUAAUUGGGCAUUGUUCAAAUUUGUCGAAUUAGUCAAUAAACUUCAUAAGGAUGCUACCACAAUUUACAUAAUAGGGCAUUGUUUAAAUACAUAAUGUCUUUAAAUGUAAAUGUAAAUUGCAAUUGAGACAUUUUGUCAAACACCUUGAUGGUAUCUUAGAAAAUAGAAGGAAAUGAGUGUGUCACUUAAUUUUGGAGCUAAUCCAAAAUUUAAUGACAAAUUUUUUAUGUAUUUAUCCACAAACUCAUUUCAAUCUAUGUCCAAAUCUGCUUCAAAUAUAAAUGAACGAAAAAUCUUCUCAAAUUCAACGUUCAACCUCAAAAAUAAUGUUUAUUCAAUAUGAGUGUAAUUUUUCAUGUUUGAAUUCCUUCUAUACUCCCAGAUUUUCUCUUGAAUGACUAUGAUUUAUGAUAUUAAUUUACCAAAUUUGACCAUAGAUUAAAUCGACCCAAAUAUCAACAAAGAUUUACCAAAUUCAAGCAUUUACCGUGCAAAAAAUGAUUUUUCGCUCAAGAUUCAUCCCAAAAUCACCCAUUCAUCCAAAUGGGAAACUUGCGUUAAAAUUACAAAGAAGCAACAACAUUAAAUUGGUGGGUGAGGGUUUCUAUCUACAGGAACAUUGGAAUCGAAGUCAAAGUUGGGAACGGAGGUUUCUCAAAAGUUUUUUGAUUCAGGGAUUUGCCCUUCUGGUUUGGGUUUUUGUUGUGGUUUUGAAUGUAAUUAAUACGGUAACAGUAGUUUUAGUUAGUUUUAAGGUAUUAAUUAAAUAGUUAAUUUUUUAGGGUAGUGUAUCUAAUAUUCCCAUUAUUUAGUUGCUUUUAAUGAUCCAAUUUAUUUUCGGGUUGAGCCCAUCAAUUGUGGUGUUAAAAAUCAUUUUACUUAUCAGUCAUCAUAAAAAGGGAAUUCGGUCCUAAGUUAUGUUUUUUAAGUUCAAUAUUGAUUUAGAAAAGUUAAGGGGUGACAUCGAAAAGUUUAAAAUCAAGGCCAAGGGUGAAUAUUGGAUGGAUUAGUCAAGAUAUCUUGAGAAUUGGACCAAACUAAUUUUCAUUGAGAAUAUAAAAAAUAGAAUAGCUGGUUUACAAGUAAAAAUAUAAUUGAACAAACCCAAGUUGAUCGAUUUCAAUCUGGUCCGAUGUGCCUAGAUUCUACCACAAGUGCAUGGGUCGUGACAAGUAGAAUAUGACAAAAAGAGUAUCGUUUCCAUAGGAAGGCGAUUCAAGUACUAAUUUAUAAAAUUUUCUAUAUUAUUUAGAUAAUCCCAUAUUGAUGUAACUUAUGCAAAUUCUUAACCUUUGAAAAGAAAUCAAACAAGAAAGGUUUCUAAGGUUUGGAUUUCAUCUAUCAUUNNNNNNNNNNNNNNNNNNNNNNNNNNNNNNNNNNNNNNNNNNNNNNNNNNNNNNNNNNNNNCCCAAUGAGUUUAAACCUGGUUGGUUGCAUUAAUGUUUUGCUAAUUAUGAUGACCGAAUUCCCUUUUUUUAUGCAAUAUCAUCUUUAAAGAUAUAACAACUAUAUUUAUAUUAAUCCUAUAUCUAACAAACUCCACAUUGACAUGAAUUCUACUAUAAUUAACAUAUCUUAAAAAAAUCUCCAUGUAAAACACAAAUUUCACUGCAAAAAAUAAAAUUUAAUUAUCUAAUUCAAACAAGAUUCUCCAAACAAAUUACUCCACCUCUUUUACAAAACCAUAAGGGCAAAACUCAACAAAUGUGAACUAAAUCCUAGCAUUGCUUACCAGCAUAAUUACAUUGGGUACCAAAUUUCUUUGAAUCACCACGAACAAUAAAAUAAUUAAGUUCACAAGUAACUCUAUUUGAGUAAGAAUCCAAGCACUACUCAUCCGUGGAAUUACUUUGGGCACCAAAUUUGCUUAAAUCACGAGUAACAAAAACUAGAAAUGAUAUAAUAUUCACCAAAUGUGGUAGAAACAAGGCUUGUAACAGAAUCAUCACAACUAAAUGAUUCGAUAGAAGGAUUUGACUAGAACAAUACCUUCAACCACAUUCAAAGUAUAAACAACUAAAUUAGCAUCCCUAUACCUAUGUGGAGGCCUAAUAUUAGGAAUAGGUCUGUCUCUAGCAGUUGAUACAAUGGCAUCGCUGGAAAUAGUGGCCAAGCUGAAUUAUCCAUAACUUAUAAACUCGAACAAGAUGUAAUCUUUAAUAUGGAUCCUAAAUCAAACUUCAACUAUAUGGAACCAAACUCAAAAUCGAGUCCCUAGUUUUUGUUGAAUGAACUCAAAAGAUUUUAUAGGACCAUGCAAGACAUAAUUGGGAUCUUUUUUGUCCCUUUCAAUCCUUAUGUUGCUUUUGCUCGAGCAUCCAAACAAAAAUAUAUGCAAUAACAAAAAAUCUUGUUGUGAUCUAAAAGCGGAAUAUCAAACUUCAUAUUUGCCAAUCCAAAACAAUCAAACCUCGUUCUAGUUGAUCAAACCUCAUUUUAAUACAAAACCAAACUAGUCUCCUAAGAUCUGUCGGCUCUGAUACCAAUUUGUUAGAAAUGGAGUCAGUAUUUAAGAAUUAAGUAUCGCUAUGAUAUCACUUGUUAGAAAUUAAAAAUAAUAAGGUAAUAUGAAAAGUAACGAUCACAAGAACAUAAAGAUUUUACAUAGAAUGUUAAGAUUAAAAAAAAAAAAAGAAGAAGAAGAAGAAGAAGCACGGAUAGAAGUAGAUAAUUCACAACAUCAAAAAUGAGGAUUUCAAUAAGUUUGAUCUCAAAUAACCUGUGAUAAUCAAAAUGUGUUGUGCACCACAUAUAUAAAAAUACUAAGAUUUCCUAACAUAUUAAGAGAAUAUAAUACAAUGAAGAGUUUAAUAUAAAGCAUAGUCCCAUUACAAUAGAUAAAAUCAAUAAUGAAAUGUUUAGAAUGAAAUAUGAGUAAAAAAACUACCAACUCCUGAAUUGAAUUACCACUUAAAUUUCCAAAUAAACUUCAAUUAGAAUUUUCAACUGGACUUCAAAUAGAAUUCUAAUGCUAACAGCUAUGUUCUAUCAUUUUACAAUAAUAACUUGUAAUUAUAUCCAGACACUCGUUUCAUCACUAUGUUCUAUCUUAUUAUAAUAAUAACUUGUAGUUAUAGUAAUUAUAUCCAAAUACUCGUUUUAUCACUAUGUUCUAUAAUAUUAUAAUAAUAACUUGGUAAUUAUAUCGGAAUGUCAGUUUUCUUUGAAUGUUCUUGAUAUGCAUGUCACUUUAUAAAAACGAUUAGUCUCAAUAAAAUUAUACAAUAUUCUACAUAUUCUCGACCGAUAUUUAUAAUUUACCAUGAACAUAUUUCAAGUACUUGAUUAAAAAAUCAGGGGCAGAUGUAGGGGGACUAGUGAUGACAAAAAAACUCACUCCGCCUCAAAUGGAAUAUAUAAAAAAACCGUGGCGGGGCAAGGCGGGGCGCCCCGAACUCAUUUUGAAUUUUUAUUUUAUUUUCCAAUAAUAACAUAACUCGAAAUUUUAAAAAUGUAAAAAAUUAAAUGGGAUAACAAACGGGGAAAAAGUUGCCCCAUCCCCAUCCCGCCUCGGGACAGGAUUUGGGGUGUGACAGGACUUAGGCUCGAACCUCCCCUGUUGCCAUCCCUAGGGGGACUGAGAUGGACUGUAGGGACCCAAGGCCCAAGAAUUUUUUUUAAGGCAUUUUUCAAAUUUUUAUUUUAUUUUUUCGUAUUAGCCCGAUCUUGGAAAUCUUGGAUCCCCGAUUAAAAUUGUAUUAAAAUUACAUUAAAAUUAUAUUAAAAUCCUGGCUAUUAGCAACAGUGUUUUGUAUGGAGUUAAAACUUUUCUCAUUCAGAAUUGUGUUAAGGACAUUGUUACAUGUACAUCAAACUUUAUAUAAUGGAUUACAUAAUACCACAUGUCACUAUAUCAUUUGUCAAUUUUAAACACAGUUAACUUUUUCAUCCAAUUUUCCCCCCACAUCAUUUUAUGUAAUCCUUUAUGCACAAUUUUUAUAUACAAGUAGUAUAAUCCUCGUGUUAAAACCGUCAAAAUUAUUGGAGAAAGUGAAAAGUUAAAACAUUACUAAUGGAUAGAUCUUUGCCUCGAACUAGUGAUUUCAUUCAUAGUCGCCGUUCUUUGAUUCAGUUUUCAAUUGGGCAAUUUUAUGUCAAUAAAAUCACUAUACUUUAGAAAUAUUGGCCAAUCCAGAUACUGGAGUAGCUAUUACAUACUAAUAGCCGAUUCAUCCGAUGUGAUCGUAAAAAAUGACUAGAAAUCAUUUAUACAAUUGAAAUUCUCAUUUUAUAUAGAUUUUUUUGAUUGUAUCAUAUCUUCCAAGUCAAUUUUUCAACGACAUAGAACGACUUUUAGUAUUUAAAUCAUGUAACAUUCUAACAUUAGACAUUGUGACAAAUUGAAUAAAAUGAUUUAAAUUAAAAUAAAAUUGAAGUAUAAUCACCUGAUUUAUAACAAAUUAAAGUAUGGUGUUCAAAUUAACAUUAAUUGAGAUAACCCAAUUAAAAAUUGAGUUAAAGUGCAAUCACAAUGACUACGAAUAUUUUAAUCAAAUUCGAUAAAGCACUUUCUUGAUCCGGGUUUGCCGCCCGGCCCAUCAAUUAGUUUAACUUUGGAUGGACCCGGUAAUUUACCGACGUAAGAGGUGCUUUUAUGUAAUAAUAUUCAUUCUCUCAAUAUAAUUAACCACCACGUCCGCCUCUCUUUCAUUUUUCUCCAGCGUUAACUCUUGGAAAUACCAGGCACCUGCGCAUUCUUCCAAUUCAAAAUCCUUCGCUCCGCCUCCAGUGAUACGGAUCGGGUCUCAGGUCCGUAUAAAUUCACUAGUUUCAAGAUUUUUAAUCUGAUGCAAGUUGUAACCAUGUCUUUUUUAUAUUAAUAAAUUAUGCAAAAUUUUGAUGUAUGGAAAUUAUGCUUUGAUUAAAGUUUUUCCUGUUGGAGAUUGUUUAGUUCGCUUCUUGGGCAUCUGAUGUUUAGUUUUGUGAUGUUUAAAUGAAUUAUCUGUAAUAUGGAGGGGUGAUAUUUUCUAAUGUUGAUGUUUUACCUUUCUAGGUUUAGUUUCUGGAGGCCUUCUGUGGGUUUUUUCUGUAAAGUUAAGUUUUUGAUUAGUUGACUAGGUCGUGUUAGCGCUGCUCCUUAUUAUUAUUUUUUUAUUUUUCCAACUGUUAAUGAAAACAUAAUCAUAAGAUGCGUAGUGUAAGUUUAAGAUCUUGAAAAAUUAAUGGGUUUAAACUGUUAAAAGUUAUAAACUAGCCUGAGCGGAUUGUGUGGAAAAAUAUAGGAGAUUAAUUAAUAUUCAAGAAUGUAAUUAAAUUCCCACAAAUUCUCUAAUUUGUAAUGCCAAUUGUACUUUCUUGUAUUGUGUUUACUCAUCUAAUUGUAAAAUUAUGAUUUAGAGAAUUGUUGUAAUCAGAAACAUCAGGGGUUGAUGAACUGUAGUUUAAGACUAAAGAAAAUUGAUUUGUCAUCUGAAUUGAUGUAGUAAUAUUUUUAAGUGCUGAAUUGGGAUAAAUAUUGUCAACCUUUACGCGUAUCUUUAAGUGUAUGGUAACUGACCUCAUCAUGAAAUUGUGAUUGGUUUUAUGGAAGCAGUCUUGGCGCAUUGAAGAAAAAACAUAAUUUUGUAUUUUGUUAAUAUCUCAAAAUGCCGAAAGAUAGAAGGGUGAAUUCCUCAUCUUUUGAUCGGGCUAGGGUAUCUCCUUAUGCUGGCAGCUCGAAGAUUUGUGAUCCGACGAAGUCAGAUAGAUAUUUGCCUCGUGUUGGAGAUGAAGCCGAAUGGGAAGAAGCUAGAUGCCCCAUUUGUAUGGACCACCCACACAAUGCUGUCCUGUUACUAUGUUCCUCCCAUGAUAAAGGAUGUCGACCAUACAUGUGUGACACAAGUUCCAGACAUUCAAAUUGCCUUGAUCAGUUUCGCAAGUCAUCUAGUGCAUCAUCACCUGCUCCAUUUGCUACUCCACGAGAAGAUGUCUCGGCACCACGGGUGGCAACUCGCAGACACAGAGGGGAACAACCGUUAUCUAGGCCAAUCAAUUCCCUUGAGGGAGAGAAACCUGUGUUUGUCUGCCCCCUUUGCCGGGGAAAGAUCACUGGAUGGCUUUCUGUGGAGUGUGCACGGAGGUUCAUGAACUCCAAACUGAGGAGCUGCUCUUCAGAAAAUUGUAACUUCAGUGGAAAUUAUUCUGAGCUAAGAAAGCAUGCCAGGCUUGAGCACCCUUCUGAUCGACCAGCUGAGGCCGACACCCAGCGGCAAUCUGAGUGGAUGAGGUUGGAGCGACAAAGAGAUCUUGAGGAUGCACUUAGUGCAUACCUGCCAGAUCUUGACUUUGACUUGGGUGACUUGGACGAAUUGCCUAGCUUUGAUGAAUGGGAUGGAGAUGGUCUGUGGAAUGAUCGAAAUUUUUUUGACUUCGUAGGUGGACUUACAGAGGACGGGGAUGAACCGAGUGAAGACAACAAUAUAUUUACUGAUCUAGAGGUUGAGUUUUCUUUCUCUUUCCUUGAGUAUCUAUCUUAUCCUGAGAUAGAAGCAACAGAUUCUGGUACUUCAAUAAGUAACGACAGAGUACGUAACAGGAGACAGAUUAAUUCUAGGUCAAGUUAUCCCACUGAAAACAGCUUAACAGGUUCAAGGCCUAGAUCAAAUCAUCAUAGGGAAAAUGUGCCCCCAAGUUUAAGAUCGAGUUAUUAUGAAGGAAAUACCCCGGCAAGUUCGAGGCCAACUUACCUUGGUAGAUACGCACCAACAAGGGCAAGGUCAAGGUCAGGUUAUCAUAGGGCGAACAGAUCCCCUGUGAGGUCGAGUACGUCAGGGAGGCAAAUGCCUGGCUCUUCACAAUGGCACCAAUCAAGUCGGAGAUCCUGAGGAUCGCGAAUCUAGUUUGUUUUACUGUGCUUCUUUUACUGUUUGAUGGGUCUCUAGCUGUAGUUUACAUUUCCUGUUUUGAACUCUUAAAAGCUUUCCCUAUGAUUUAGUUUUCGGUCAUAAUUCAUGCGGUCACACUUGUACGAGUUUGUAAAGAAGUUCUCUAUUUAUCAGUUGUGAUCAUACGACUAAGAAACUGACUCACACAUCCGCCCAAAAAAAAAGAAAAAAAAGAAACCCACCCCCACCCCCCCCCAAAAAAAAAAAAAAAAAAUGAUAAAAAAGAUAGUAUUUAAUUAAGUAAUUUGGAUUAAUGAUCAAUUGAAUUUUAUUUAUUUAUUUAUUUAUUUUUCCUUUUUCGUUUUAUUCAAUGUAGCAUAACAAUGUGACAUGAUAGUCAAUAUGGUUGUUUUUUUUUUUUUUUGGAUAACAUACGACCAGAGAGAGAAUGUUAGUACGGGUAGAAACUUAGGUGUAGAAAUGUAAAUUUAUCUCGGCAGCCCCAUUGACGACGUAUUCUACUCGUAGAAAAUUGACAUUGACCAAAAAUUGCCUUGAAGUUUCAUGUUCGGAAUCGUCGGUCCAACCAAAUCCACAUUCUUUGUGCCUAACGGUAGAUGACGUUGACUAUUUAUUGAUUUUAAUUUUAUUUAGCAAUAUGAUAGAUGUUCAAUUGUUAUGGGUUUAACCCAUCACUGAGGUUAAAUAAGGUCUGGUUUGUGCAAUUUUCGGAAAAUUAGGAAUCACUUUGAAGUUUUGUACGGUUAUAGGUAAAGAACAUGGAUUAUGAAAUUGGUAAAAUAACUAAAAAUAAAGGGUAUUUUCAUCUUUGCUCGGUUCGCUUCAAAUCGGUUUGGUCAAGGUCAACAGAGUAAAUCUAGCCUCUUGAUCAGGGAUAAGGAGGCCAAUGAGGUGUUCGGGUAUUUAGGCCAUUUUCAGUGUUGGACCAAAUUUUGCAUCAAAUUUUGUAUCAAAUGUUAUACUAAAUUAAAAUUUAUUUUCAACCAUUACAUCGAAAGAACAGUGUUUUAUUAUUUUAUUCAUGAUUUCGAUUUUUGACAAUGUAUUUAUUUAUUUAUUUUAUAAUUAUAUAAAUUACUAAAUCAUAACUAGGUUAAAUUAACAAAUAUAUUAAAUUGACGAAAAUAAUUGAUUAUAUUAUUAUAAACAAUUAUGUUAAAUUUACAAAAAUAAUUACUGAAUUAAAAAAUCUUAAUUAUUAUUGAUUAUAUUAUUAAAAAUAAUAAACUUUAACAAUAUAAUUAUUAUUAUUAUUAUGAUCAUCAUCAUCAUCAUCAUUAUUAAUAUUAUUAUAGAACGAAAAUGACACAAAUACCCUUAACCAUUAUCUUUGAAAAAUGAAAAAUGGGCAAAAUGGACAUUGCAAAAUGGUGUAAUAGUUGGAAGGAGGUUUGGACCAAAUUUUGGUGCAACGUGGUGCACAUUGGAGAUGCCCUCAUAAUGUUGCAAAAAUACAUAUAUAAUCUUAAACAGAUAUGCAUAUUAUAUUUGGAGUAAUGCUAUUUGUAAAUCAUUAUAUACAGAUAUAGUCAUUAUAUUUAUAUCUGGAGUAAUGCUAUUGUACAUAUAUAAUCAAGAGAGAGAGAGAGAGAGAGAGAGAGAGAGAGAGAGAGAGAGAGAGAGAAGGAAGCCAGUUAAUAUAAUUCAUGUUAUAAAUUUGUACACAAUGAUGUACAAAUUGUAAGCACCUAACUUUUGACGCCAAUUGGUCCCUCGAAUGUUCAUUAGUGACAUUUUGGGCAAAAACAUGAACCACUUCAUUGGUAAAUGAUCAAAAGUUUUGGGACUUUACAGUAAUUUUUUAGUUAGAUGUAAAUCAAAAUCAGUGACCUCUUAACAUCCCCUUACCCAUAAAAAAGACAGUUGUCCUCAAAUGCAUAGUCAGGAAAUUGAUAAUUAACUCAAUCUCAACCUAAGAUUUGCUGUCCCAUCCUGUUGUUUCGUUGAUUCUCUUCUACUAAUAUUUUGACACCUCUAUCUAAAUCUUCAAGGUGUUAAAAUUUUAGCGGAACAUAGUCGAACGUGUCAACAUUUUUUGGGCUUAUAAUAUUUUCACGUUUCAGAAUUGUAGAUGUAGUAAGGAAUAGUCAACGAGAUGGAAAAUAUAAACAAUUUUUUUUUCUUCUCCUUUUCCCUUGGGAUGAUCUAAAAUAGCUAGAUGACACAUACGUCUUCAAAUUUAUUGUUGAAAUUACAAUAAUCAGCACUAUACUGGAUGUUUGAUAUACCAAUAUACUGGAACGACAAUGCAAUUCUUUUUCCUAAAGGUCUAAUAAAAUAUAUAUUUUCAAAAUACAAAAGCGUACUAAUUUGAAUUUUUUUUCUGUUGGUAAACUUUCAUACAGUCAAAUACUUACUACCAGAAAGCAAACUAUUAAAAUCAAAUUGAAUAAUGAUUUAUUUUUGUAAUUGCAAUUUAAUAUAAUUUUCUAUCCAGUUGUUUGAAAAAAUAAAAAUAAAAAUAAAAAUUGACAAUAAUAUCGGAAAGACCUUAAUGCAAGUCCCAACAGGUGCCUUGGCCCAGCCACCUGUUCACAAAACCGUUGAGUUUCACAAGUGCAAAGAUGUGUUUAAGAGCAAGCUUGGAAUUCACAUGAAUAAUAAUAAUAAUAAUAAUAAUAAUAAUAAUAAUAAUAAUAAUAAAAAUAAAUUUAGGCUAUUAAAUUGUCUAUAAUUUAUUUGCAUAGAAAUUGUCAAUAAAUGUAUUUGAUUGAUUUAAUUUUCAAUUUAACAAAUGUUAUAGUUGUUCAUUUUUUAUUGGUGAGUAGUUGAGAGAGAAAGGAUAUAGAUGAAAGAAAAAUUACUUAGAAGAUGAAAACCUAUUCUCCCGAAAGAAAAUGCUUUCCUCGUUUUCAAGGAACACAUGGUCAUGUUUUUUCAUAAAAAAUAUAUCAAUCAAACAGUAUAAAAGUAGAAAUUUGAGUGAAAAAUGACAUUUUUCAUUAAAAAAUAUUGACAAUCAAAUACAUCUUAAGUGUAAAUAUAUUCCCACCACAAUUUUUUAUCAAUUACACCACAUUUUAAUCACAAUGACUAUCUCUAAUCUUAUUUUUUUUUUAUACUUAUGUUCUCAAUUGUUUUCAAUUUUUUUCAAGGGAAAAUUGCAACCGAGGUAACAAACCUUUCGUUUAUUAGCAGACUUUACCCCAAACCUUUCAUUUGUGUCAUUGGAGGUACCAAACCUUUCAAAAAUUCGCACCCGAAGUCCAAAUGAAUGGGAACCGUCUAUUUGACCGUUAGUUGACCAAGAAAAGUAAAUUUUGACCGAUUUUGACCAAAUUGAAAUGGGUAAAAUGGUAACUUGAUAAUUACAAUAUUAAAUAAAUUGAACAAAAAAAAAAUAAAAAAAUCAAGAAAAAAUCAAAAAAUUAAGAAAAGAAAUUACAAAAGGGUUGUCUUCUUCAACCUCCCCGCCCCAUCCCACCCCACCCCACCCCACCAUCUUUGUCCCCAAUUGCGUGGGUCUACAGUUUCUUCCAGCAAAAUUACAAACCUUUUCCACAGAUUUUAUCAUUUUUUCAGGCUUCCUCUUCCUCUUCUUUUAUUGGUCUAAAUAGCGUUGAUUUUUUUCUACACUACCCCUAGAAUUUGGUUUCUGGGCACCAUUUUAUGGCCAAUGCUCCCAUGGUACCUGCAACUACCGGCUUUCCUAUUUCAAACAAGACCAAAUUAACUACUUAUCAAGAAUUUGAUAGGCUUAAUGGAUAUCCAAGGAAACAAACAGUUAAAAAGGAUAGGCAUAGCAAAAUAAUUACAGCUCAAGGUCCAAGGGAUCGAAGAAUGAGGCUAUCCAUUGGUACUGCACGUAAGUUCUUUGAUCUUCAAGAAAUGCUAGGUUUUGACAAACCAAGCAAAACCCUUGAUUGGCUGCUUACGAAUUCGAAAAUAUGGCGGGGUGGGGCGGCGUGGAGAGGUUGAAGAAGACAACCAUUUUUUAAUUUCUUUUCUUAAUUUUUUGAUUUUUUAUUGAUUUUUUGAUUUUUUUUGUUCAAUUUAUUUAAUAUUGUAAUUAUCAAAUUAUCAUUUUACCCAUUCCAAUUUGGUCAAAAUAGGUCAAAAUUUAAUUUUCUUGAUCAACUAACGGUCAAAUAGACGGUUUCUAUUCAUUUGGACUUCAGAUGCGAAUUUUUGAAAGGUUUGGUACCUCUAGUGGCAUAAAUGAAAGGUUUGUGCAAAGUCUGCUAAUAAACGAAAUGUUUGGUACCUCAGAUACAAUUUUCCCUUUUUUUAAUCACUAACCCUAUAUUAUUUUUAUAUUUUGUCCAUAAAGAUAAUUUUCAUCCAAAAUAUUUAUUACAAAGGCCAAAAUACGUAUUUAUCUCUCGCAUUUUUAAAUAAUCAAAAUAAAUAACUAAUACAAAAGUUAAACAAAAAUGUAUUCAUCUUUUCAAUGCAAGUUAGUAGAAUAUUUGAGUGAAAAUAGACGGUUUCUAUUCAUUUGGACUUCAGAUGCGAAUUUUUGAAAGGUUUGGUACCUCUAGUGGCAUAAAUGAAAGGUUUGGGCAAAGUCUGCUAAUAAACGAAAUGUUUGGUACCUCAGAUACAAUUUUCCCUUUUUUUAAUCACUAACCCUAUAUUAAUUUUUAUAUUUUGUCCAUAACGAUAAUUUUCAUCCAAAAUAUUUAUUACAAAGGCCAAAAUACGUAUUUAUCUCUCGCAUUUUUAAAUAAUCAAAGCCACUGGAGGUACCAAACCUUUCAAAAAUUCGCACCCGAAGUCCAAAUAGAUGGAAACCGUCCGUUUGACCGUUAGUUGACCAAUAAAAUUAAAUAUUGACCAAUUUUUGACCAAUUGAAAAGGAUAAAAAGGUAAAAGUUACUUAACCCUAUAAUAAAACAAUUAAAAUAAAUAACUAAAAUAUAAAAAAAAAAUUUACUAUUCAUCUUCUUCUUCACCCACCCACCCCCACCCGCACGCCACCCUACCCCACCCCAUCCAAAACCAAAAAUAGAAAUUAAACAGCCGCCUUCUUCUUCAACCUCCCCUCCCCACGCCAUCGCACCCCACCCCACUGGCUCUUGCCCAAUUAGCAAUUCAAGAAUCACAACCCCAAAAGCGUAAACGUCGAAUUUCUGGUGAUUGUCUUUUACUCCAAAAAUCCUCCUGAGCCUCCUCAAGUCGGAAAAGAACCCCAUUUCAGCUCUCCACUUGUUUGACUCGACGACUCACCACCCGAGUUACACCCACACUGACGCUGUUUUGUACCACAUCCUCCAUCGCCUCUCCCUUUCGACCGAUUCGAAACUCCUCCCUCACGUGAUACGGAUAGUUGAUUUGAUCCGAACGCAGAAAUGUCUUUGCUCAAAAGACACGGUCCUGGUUGUUAUGAAAGCUUACUCGAAAAAUUCAAUGGUAGACAAAGUAAUGGAACUCUUCCAAAAAAUGAGGGAAAUUUUCGGGUGUGAACCCGGGGUGAGGUCUUAUAAUACUCUGCUGAAUGCAUUUGUGGUUUCGAAUCGAUUGAGUAAAACCGAGUUGUUCUUUAGGAAUUUUGAGACAAAGGGCGUUGCACCAAAUUUAGAAACUUCAGGGGCGCGUGAAAGAAAAAGACAAUCACCAUUGUUGAGGGGAAGGGGACUCCGGCAGCUGAUGCUACAAUGGUCGGAGAGAGAAAUGAAUUGAGGGAUCAAGUUGAUUGGAGAUUGUGGUGGCGACCGCCCAUGGAAUUGGGGUUGGGUGUGGUGGCGUGGGGUGGGGUGGGUCGGGGUNNNNNNNNNNNNNNNNNNNNNNNNNNNNNNNNNNNGGGGUGGGGUGAAGAUGAACAUGAACAGUAUUCCCUUUCUUUUCUUUGAUUUUUAUUUAUUUUGUUUUUACUUUUCUAUUGUUAUUAUUAAUUAUUUUAAUUAUUAAUAUAAAGAAAAAAUGCAAAGUACCACUUUGCUCUUUUUAAUUUGGUCCAAAUUGAUCAAAUUUUGACUUUUCUAGUCAACUAACGGUCAAGUGGACGGUUUUCAUCCAUUUGGAGUUCGGGUGCGAAUUUUUUAAAGGUUUGGUACCUCCGGUGGCACAAACUAAAUGUUUGGGCAAAGUCUGCUAAUAAACGAAAGGUUUGAUACCUCGACUGCAAUUUUCCCUAAUUAAAAUGUUGGGCAGAUAUAAAAAAUUGUUGCAUGAAUAUAAUUAUCCUUUGACUAAUCUACAACAUAUUAGAAGGGUGAAUUGAGGAGAAACUUUUGAAUAUCAAUUUCACCCUUACAUAUUUACCUAUAUGUCUAAUAUACUCUUAUUUAAUUUUAAUUUUAGUUUUUUUAAUAAUUAAUUAACAACUUUAAUUCAAUUUAUUCAAUAAUAUAUUAGAAAAUCCAUUUUCUUUUCCAUUUGUCAAUAGUUCCCUAAAUUAAUGUUACAUUAAUUUUCAUUAGCAUUAAGUCAAUAUAUAUAUAUAUAUGCUCAAUAUACAUUUAUUUAAUUUCAAUUUUGUUAAAAACUUAUUAAUAACAUUAAUUCAAUUUAUUCAACAUCAAAUUAAAAAAUCCCUUUUCUUUUUUGAUUUAUAUAUAAUUCCCUAAAGAAUUAAGAUUUUUUUCUAACAUCAUUAAGGUAUUAAUCUUCCAAUAAUGAGUUACAUUUCCUACGAAAGAAUAGUUAUUUCACAAAAGAAAAAAAAAUAAAAAAAAUAAAAUUGAAAGGUUGUAUUAACCAUAUUCACAUUGGUAUUAAACUUUAUGACUUACAUUCACGUCAAGUCCAAUAUGCCCUCAUUUAGUUUAUAAUUUGUAGUCAUUAUUAUUAUUAUUAUUAUUAUUAUUUAUUUAUUUAUUUAUUUAUUUAUUUAUUAUUAUUUUUUUUUAUCAACUAUGUCCUUAUUUAAUCUUCCUAAUUUUAUGGGAAAAAUUGCAAUUGCAGUCUUUAACCUUUCUUCUGCGAGCAUUCUACGUUUUUAGCUAUCUUCUCAUAUCUUUAAACUUUGCUUUAAGGGGCAUAAGCUCGUAGAAUAAAUUUUUAACACUCGUUUCAAUAUUUUUCUUACUCGACAAAUAGUCCCCUAAGUUUGAGUGUAAUUAUUCACAUUCAGGCAAUGAACAUGAAGUCUUAUUCUUUCUUAGUUUUAUUUUUGUAGAUUUAAUGGUAAUUAGUGGUCGAUCAGAUGGAAAGUUUUCCAUCUUUUCCGACAAUUAACGCGUGAUCAGAGGGAGCAUCCUUUUGAUUUGCUCCAUUUAAUGUGCAUGUCAUUCAUUUCUUUGGGAUUUAAUGGCUGGGAUACAGACGCCAUGCUAUCAAUGGCUUAUAUUCUUCUUUACUAUAAGAAAUGUGUUCUGAUAUUCUCAUUUCUUCUCUAAUAAUCAUUUUAAAAUUUGUUAAUGAUUUUUAUUACCUUUACUGAUUUUACUGUAUUUCCCUGAUAAAUCCCUCUUAACUUCUAUAAAAAUAUCUCAUAUACUUGGGAAAGUCUCUGAGAUUAACUUGUCUUUCUUCUACCAUGUUACAGUCGAACAUCUAAGACUUCGAUUGUUUGUGUAUAUGAUUCAAAAGUUGGCAGAAAAUGAUAUAAAAGCUGGCAAAUUUGUCAUAUUUUUGCAGUUUUCAUGUGUGUGCAUCUGAGGGAGAUCGCUUAUGGUGGAAAGGUGGUAACAAAAAUCCAACUUCAAUAAAAAUGGCACGUCUCUUGUCUUAUGUCACCCGUGAACAUAUGUGAAAUCUCCGGCCAAACAAAGCAAAAGAAUGAUAAAGCACAACACCUACUAAUAUUUUUUCAACUAUUUGGACCUAACUUUUGUAGAGAACAAUAUGUUGUACCCGAAUUGACACAAUUGAUAGGGUACUUUGCAGUUGUUUGAAAAUACAAUUCAAUAUCUCAAUACAUCUUCUUUCAAACAGUCUAAACUUUUAGAUGAGAUAAUUGAAUACACAAAAUAUGCAGAGAUUUCGAGUCCAAAUUGCACCAUAAUCGAUUUACAAAAGUUUUGCCACAAGGUCUUCAGUGAAUAAAUGAAAGCGAUUUUGACAUAAAUUCCAAGUCUUGAAGUAUUCAAAUUAAUCAACAUAUCACCUAUCUAUUGGGUGGUUAAACAAAUGAAUAAAGCUAUAUGUACAAAGUGAGGAUAAAUCCCUAUAGGAGUUGGUAUAAAACAAUAAGGCAAAUGAAGUAGGUCUCAUAUCCAAAUAUUUAAUUGACUUUAUCUUCUCACCUCACAUCGCAUGGAGGUGAUCGAUUAUGUGUGUGCCAACACGAGUGACUUCAAGAGCAUGUCAAAUAUCAUAUGCCGAUUCACAUGUGCUUUUUUUUUUAUCAAAUUCAUUUCUAUCAAGUGCACAAUAAAUCAAAUUCUUAGCCUUGGAAUUUAAGGAUAAUUUUUUCUUAUCUUCUUCAUCAUAUACUUCCCUAGUUUUAGAAAUAGUUUGGAGUCUACCAUCUAUUUUAAUAGUUUUAGUAGGAACAUAUGGACCGAAUUCGAUAACUUCCCAAUUAUAAUCAAUUUAUUGCACAUAUAUCAUCAUACUAGCCUUCCAAUAAUUGUAGUGUGUGCCAUCAAAGAAGGGGGGUUGAUUAGUGGAGUCUCCCUCAAGAGUUUGAAAAACUUGGUUAGCCAUUACUCAAGAUUGUAAAUUUUUUUGAAGGCGAGUACCUUGCUUUAAUACCAAUUGAAAGCCUAAGAACGAUUAACCAUGAGAGGGGUGGAUGAGUUAUUUAAAUCUUUUUUGAAAUAAAAUGAAAAUUUAAGCAAAUACUAAGUAAUCAAGAUGUGAACAAAAUAACACAAGUAACAUAAGUAAAAGGGAGGGAAAGGCACAAAUGAUGUAAUAAAGGGAUUCAAUCCAAACCACGAUCUAUGUACCCUUUUGCAAAACUCCCUGUCACGAACAAGGCCUUUGUCACUAAAUUUGAUUGACUUGUAGCGCAAUCCAACCCUUACAACACUUCCAGUGACUUACAACCAAGAAACACCAAUCCUUUUACACCGUUGAGCUUUUUGGGAUCUCAACAGACCCAAAAUCCAAAAACAAAAAACGAAAUUACAAUUAAAAGUUUCUCUCUUAAUUAAUGAUAUGAACUUAAUUAAGAGUCAAGAGAGAAGUAGGUUCAACACUUCAAUAACUCACAAAGAAUAUAGUUCAAGUGUUGUCUGAAAAACUUUAAUUGAGAUAUAUGAUUUUUGCAAAGUUUGAUUACUCAAAAAGUUUUUUAAGAAAUAAAUAAUUUGAUAUUCUAAAGAUUGGAAACAAGGUGAAAAAGAUCAAUAAAUAACUCUUAAAUGCUCAAUAAAUGGUUGUUGCAAAUGAGGUAGAGAAAGGGGUAUUUAUAGCCAUCAAAUGGUCAAAAAAUAUGUCAAUCCGAAUAUGGGAUCUGGAUGGGUAACUAGCUGUUUGAAAAACGAUCAUAAAUUCGACUGUUGGAAUUGCCCAUCCUAAUUUUUCUUCUUCAUAAUGAAUUUUCUCUAAGGUACUUGAAGGAUAUUGGUAUUUAUUUUGUAUAUAUAAGUAUGUAUGUAGAGAUUUAAUCAUGAAAAUCGAAUACUUAUCUUUUGAAAAUGAUUUUUAUGCAAGUAUAGUUUGUCGUGAAAAAGUGUCGUGCAUAAAAACCGUUUGAGUUAUAGUCGAUGCGAAAUAUUGAAAAGUUAUACCUUUACAUUUGAGUACAAAAUGCAUCUAUCUCUAAGGUCUUCAAUCUUUUCUUCCAUUGCAAUGUUUAAUGCGGAGACUCGAUUUCCAUUUCCAUGUUUGUCAAUCUUCAAUCUUGCUUGUGCAUUGAUUGUUUGGCACCAAAGUUUGUUCAUCCAUGUGCAUGAGUCUUGAUCUCGAUUCUCGUGUUUUCAUUCUUUGAUAAUUACUAACAACACUUAAAUUCAAUUUGUUAAAAUCAAACGCAAUUUGUUUAUGAUAAUCAAAAUGAGAAGUCAACCAUUAGGUUAACACAUUGCGCAAGAGCUGCACAAUGAAUAGCAACCACCACCAUCAAACCUACACCUAAAACCAAAAUCCCCACCUCAACAUUUUUGUAAAUUAAGCUAUUGAUUGUUAAAAUUUUGAGGCUGGAAAUCAUAGAAAAAUGUUCUAGUUUCGAGGCCGAUUUUACUCGCUAAGAAAAUGGAAGAAAACAACAAGUUCUUAGUCUCAGCCGAUACUAGGCUUUUAUUAUUGCUUAUUGUAGCUCUAGGCAAUAAACAAUUGGUGAGCGGUCUUUAGGUUUUGGAGAAAUUUUUUCAAUUUUGUUAUAUAAUUUUACAAUAGUCAGUAAAAACUAAUUCAGUAUAAGGACGAUGGGUGUAUGAUUGGAUUUUUUAGGAUGGGGUGUGAGAAGGAUAUUUUUUUACAACAGUAUUCUGUGAUUGGUUAUUUGACAGUGGUAUUGGCGAUAGGUGGUGGCGCUGGUGGCCAAUUUUAGGGGAAAAGAGGAUAAGGUCGAGUGGGGGUAGGGCGAGGAGACUGAAGGAGACAAUUUUUUUCCUUAAUUUUUUUUUUGUUUUUUAUUAUUUUUUUAUCCUAGUUUUUUGAUUUUUUUUUAGCUCAUUUGUUUAAUAUAAUAAUUAUCAAGUUAUUAUUUUACCCUUUUUAAUGUGGUCAAAAUUUACUUUUUUUUGGUCAACUAAUGGACAAAUAGAUGAAAAAUAUUUGUUUGGAUCUCUGCUGCAUAUUUUCAAAAGGUUAGGGACCUUUGAUGACAAAUUGAAGGUUAUGGUAAAAUCUGCAAAAAGGUGAAAGAUUAAGGACUGUUGCUGCAAUUUUUUAUUUUUUUUUUCAUUAAAACCAAAAUUUACAUGUAACUUAAAUACAUAAUAAUAUUUAAAGACGUUGAGGCAUUGAGUUGAUGAGUUUAAAUUCAAUAAUUGGGUAAGCUUUUGAUCCAUUGUCCUAAUUUUCAUUGAUAUGGUCUAGAUCAUUACUAGAUAAUCACAAUAUUUUAAUUUCUUUUUGAGGACAUUAAUUCAUACAUUUAGUGAGACUUGCAAGCUAAUUCGAUCCAUCUUCCCAAUUUUGGUUUAUUUAGUUUAUAUCAUCUUAUUAGUAGAUAAUAACUUUCUUACCCUUCCAUCUCCUUAAUUUAUAUCCCACGGAAACAUGCUUUUAUAGGCCAAAAAUUAAUGAAUUUCUAAUGAUUCUCUGCUCUUUCCCCUCUCUCCCUUAAAUUAUUAGCAACCAUACCAAGAUGAUAAAUGAAGAAACGCCACCAAAACGAAUAUGAACUUUUUAGCAGAGCUAUUUUGGAUUGUAUUUCUUUAAAAAUGCGAGUUUUUUGCGAAUGUUCAAACCAAAUUAGUAGUGAACACAACAUAAUGCAAAACUAAUUAGUUAAUACAAUUUACAAUCCAAUUAAUUGCAUAUUUGGGUGCCUUUUUUGGUACCUUUUAAUUAUUAUGUUUUAAUGGACGAAGAUUCAUUAUCCAUAAGGAUGGUUGGUUCUAUUAGUAAACUAAAACAUUUUAGUGCAUUUGUUCAAAUUUUCAGUGUGUACUUUAAAAAAAUAGUAUUAGUUUUUCAAAAACAUUACAUACAUGAUUCAUUGGAUACAUAAGACGUGUAACACACAUACUUACUACUAGUGUAUUUAAAAAGAAGAAAGAAGUUAUCCAAUGUUUUCAAUUUGACCCGAAAUAGAAAAGCAAUAAGUUGACAACAGCUCUACAAUUUGUAAAUACGUCGAAAUGCCCUCUAAUGCUUAUAGACUUUACCAUGAGCCAGAUUUAUACUCAUUGUGGUCAAAUUGGUCUUGGUCUCACAAGUCGAUAGGUUGAACACAACGAGCUAUUAAUACUAGCAAAUUUUAUAAAGCUUAUCUCGACUAUAUCAUCAUGACCAACAAAUUUCUUUCAUUUAGCCAAGAUUUCUUCUCCUAAACUCUCUAGUUUCGAUGUUCAAACAUGUAUGAAUUUCCAUGCCCUCCUUCUUUUAGGCGAAAGUAUUUAUAGAUAUCCUUUGAAGAGCUUAGGGCAAUUGAAUUAUUUUAGAAAAUAAUAGGUGGCUAUUGUUUAAUGAUGGGUUUAUAAGCAUGUAUUUUGAUAACAAUUCAGCCAACCUGAAAGAAUGAAUGUUCGUCCCUUCCUUCUGUGAUACGUUUUUAGCUAUCUUCUCAUAUCUCUAAACUUUGCUUUAAGGGGCAUAAGCUCGUAGAAUAACAUUUUAACACUCGUUUCAAUAUUUUUCUUACCCGACAAAUAGUCCCCUAAGUUUGAGUGUAAUUAUUCAUAUUCAAGCAAUGAAGUUAAAGUCUUGUUCUUUCUUAAUUUUAUUUUCGUAGAUUUAACGGUAAUUAAUGGUUGAUUGGAUGGAAAGUUUUUAAUCUUUUCUGACAACUAGCAAUAAGUACGUGCAAAACACGUCUUAUGUAUCAGGUGAAUUAUAUACAUACAAUUUUUUAAAAGUUGUUGAGAUAAUUGAUAUUAUUAAAGAAAAAAGUAUAGUUAUUAAAUAUAAUAAAUAUAUCAUAUUUGAAUAAAACUUUUUAUGGAAAUGUGUAUAUAAUGUCAAAAUACUGAAUAAAAUGAAAUAUAAUCUUUUAAUUACAAUAACACUUCUUCGAAUACAAUAUAUUUUUUUAAUCAACGUCUCACGACUUUUCAUUCUGUAUUUGUAGUUCACAUAAAUACAAAUAUGUAAAUCAUAUAAAAAUAUCCAUACAUAUACAAAUUAUUGAAACACAAACUCAAUUAAUCUACUAUUAUAUUAAUGCAGACCUUUACAUAGUGUAAUAUUUUUUUAUGAAUAUGUAUUAUAUAUAUUUAGCUUCAAUUUCAAGUAAUUAAACUUAAAUUGAUUUAUCUAAAAUAGUCUAAUGUAAAGCAAUGAAAUUUAUAUUUUAAAGGAGAUAAAAUGAAGUAGAGUUAUAUUAAAUUUUGGACUUAAAAAAUAAUUGAUAAUUAGUAACGAUUAUUAUACAUUUAAAAUUAAAAGCGCGAUUGUCAAAGAUAAAAUAUAGAAGGGUGGAAAUGGAAAUUAAAAGUUUUCCAUACCAAAGUUUCAAUUAUUGACAUUAUCGUUUUAAAACUAUAUAUAUAAUGUUAACAUUUGAAGCAUUUCUAUUUUAUAUCAUGUUCAUAAAUGUUAAAAUUUUUACAAAUGAAUGUAAAUAAUGUAAACCAAUAAUGUUCUUAAUCAUGUUUAUGUUGAGGAUUUAAAAUUUCAAUAGUUAUUAUUCAAAUAAUUAGUUACUUACUAUUCAGUUUUGAUGAACAAAAAAAAUACUAUUAUCUAUUUCUUUAAGGGUAAUGAAUGUGAUUUUAUUUCUGUGAUUAUUUGAUUUCUUUAAAAAAUUUUGACCUCGAUUUUCCCUUGUGGUUAUAUGAUUUUCACUCUCAUUGCAAGUAUUUUCAGUUUUUUCUUAUUUCAAUAAAGGUAAAUCAAGACAAGAGCACAUGUUCAAUAAUGAUUAAAAAAUAUUAUUACAUACUAUUGUUUUCUGAAAAAAAAAUAUUUAUAUAAUUUCUUUUAAUUGUAUGUGAUAAUAAAUUUAUUAAAUAAUUAUUAAUAAUUGUGUUUAGUGGAAAUUAACUGACUUUAUUUGCUAAAGCAAUAAUAAUUAGUAAUUAUCUUAUUUAGAGAAAAUAAAUUGAAUCAUUUGGUAUUUUGUAGUUAAUUAUCUAUGUACUAUUAUUAUUUCUUUUAAUUGUAUGUAAUAAUAUUUCUAUUAAUUGUGUACAAAUAAUUGUGUUUAAUGGAAAUUAAUUGACUUAAUUUUCAAAAGCAAUAAUAAUUAUUGAUUAUCUUAUUUAGAGGAAAUAAGUUGAAUCAUUUGGAACAAAUUUUAAGUAAGGGUAAAUAAUAAAUAUAGCAUAUUAAUGCAACCUCUCGUUUUUUUUUUUUUAAUUUUCUUUUUGUAAACCAAAUGAGGGUAUAUUGGACAUAUAGGUAAAUGUGUAACGGUAUAAUUGGUAUUCAAAAAUUUAUCCUCAAUCCACACUUUUAAUAUAUUGUAGAUUAACGCGUGAUCAAAGUGAACGUCCUUUUGAUUUGCGCCAUUUAAUGUGCACGUCAUUCAUGCCUGCCUAGUGCCGUUUGCUUAUAUGCCAUUUCGAAUUCAAUGACUUGCUCCAUUUAAUGUGCAUGUCAUUCAUUUCUGUUGGGAUUUAACGGCUGGGAUACAGACGCCAUGCUAUCAAUGGCUUAUAUUCUUCUUUACUAUAAGAAAUGUGUUCUGAUAUUCUCAUCUCUUCUCCAAUAAUCAUUUUAAAAAUUGUUAAUGAUUUUUUAUUACCUUUACUGAUUUUACUGUAUUUCCCUGAUAAAUCCCUCUUUAACUUUUAUGAAAAUAUCUCAUAUACUUGGGAGAGUCUCUGAGAUUAACUUGUCUUUCUUCUACCAUGUUACAGUCAAACAUCUAAGACUUCGAUUGUUUGUGUAUAUGAUUCAAAAGUUGGCAGAAAAUGAUAUAAAAGCUGGCAAAUUUGUCAUAUUUUUGCAUUUUUCAUGUGUGUGCAUCUGAGGGAGAUCGCUUAUGGUGGAAAGGUGGUGGACCUGAUUGGCUGCUGCAAUAUGAGCUAUUAAACAGUCAUGUUCCAUUUCACCAAACUUGAUUUUACCAAAACAAUUUCAGCCUGCCCCUCAUCUUUCGGCUUAAACGACCCUCGAAGAUAGAAACUACGAAUGUGUCGAGUAGAUAGUCCACAAAAUAUGUCUUCUAGCUAGUUUAUCUUGUACAUGCUAGAUAUAAUUCGAAACUAUGUUUGCCUUGUAAUCCUUCUUUAUAUCAAUGAAGUAUCUAUUUAUUAUAUUUGCUAUGCUUAAGAACACAGCAAGAAUUUAAUCAAUCAACUUUGUUCAGUUCGCACAGUAAGAAUUCUCAUAACCAAUUUUAUUUAACUAGUGUCUCAUUGAUAAUACUUUCUCAAGUACAUACCUUUCGAAAGAUGUUAAGAGGUCACACAUCCUGUCCGGCGAGCUUCUAUGUAUUUUAUCCGACAACCUUGAUUUUUGUAUGCGGUCCUUCCCAUUUUGGACCUAACAAACUAGAGCUCUUUUCCUUAUUUGCAACGAGUACUUUCUUUAGUACUAAGUCCCCCACAUUGGAAUUUUUGUGUGAAAUUUCUUUAGUACUAAGUCCCCUAACAAAUUGUUUUAUUCACCUCCUCUACUUGUCCAUUAUCGUAAGGGUAAUAUGGAGUGGAGAAGUGUCGUCGGAUCUCCAACUUGUCCCACAUUGCUUUCAACUUUUUCCAUUGGAUUUACACACCAUUCCUCGAGAUUAUAGAGUUUGGUACUCCGAACCGACAGAUUAUAUUUUUUCAUAUGAAUUUGCAAGUAUUAGCUUCAGUGAUAUUUGCGAUGGGUUCUACUUUUGCACACUUAGUGAAGUAAUCUACUAUCAUGAUUAUAAAUUUCCUAUUUGAUUUUCUUCUGGCAAUGGCUCGAUGAAGUCAAUACUCCAUUUUGCAAAACGUUAAGGGCUACUGCUAGUUACUAAUUCUUGUACGGGUUAUCGCGAUAUGAAUGAACUUUUGACAUUUUUUGCACUUUCUAGCGAAACUCAUAACACCUUUCUCAUAUCCUAAUUUCAAGGCCUUUCGUGCAAGCAGUGUUUGAUGACGUGAUUUUUUGCAUCCUCAUUAGUCACUUUCAUUACAUACACCUCUCAUCAGGGCGGAGCCAGGAUCAAACUACAAGCUGGGCUAACAUAUAAAAAAAAAUAUAAAUUUACACAUAAAAAUUUUUUUUUGCCCUAAAAACCAUUAAGUGGGCUGGAGAGGGGACUGGGCUGGACCCAAUCCCCCCUUCUCUUUUGGUUAAUUAAUGGUUUUGGAAACAAUUCCAUGAGUACUAUUUUAAUCUGCAUCAUUUGUGCUUGCUAGUUUUGCCAAUGCAUUUGCAUAUUCGUUUUUUUUCUCUAGGAAUUUGUGAGAGCUCAAAUUUACUGAAGUGUUGAGAUGACUUUGUAACCUCUGCGAGAUAAGUAGCCACCAUUUUUCUUAGAUUGCGCAAUUUUCAUUCACCUAGUUUACCACUAAUUACGAAUUGGUCUUUUUUCUUUUUUUUUUUUUUUAAAGCGUGUAUUUCUUUUACCAGUUGUAGGCCGACCAAUAGAGUUUUAUGUUUGGCCAUAUUAUUAGUUACUUUAAACACAAACCUUAAUGUGCAGUUCAAUUUUUGCCUUUCUAGGUUGUUAGGCUUCUUACCCCAGUGUCAGUGUUUCCUGAAGAUCCAUCUACAAAUAGCUUCAAUGUUUCCUAUCCAGGCUCUUCUUCGGGAAUGAAAUCAUUUGAUAGUUUUGCAACAAAAUCUGCUAAUGCUUGAGCUUCGAUUGCGGAUAGUCCCUUAUAGGUUAUGUCGAAUUGUCCCAAUUUUAUUUUCCAUUUCAAUUCGCCUAUCUGAUGUAUUAUAUUUUUGUCGUACUUACUUAACUGGGAAAUUAGUUAGCACUUCUAUACUAUAGCUGUGGAAGUAUGGUUGCAUUUACAUGAUGCCACAAUAAAGGUAAGAACUAGUUUUCCAUAUCUUGAUAUCUCGCUUCCCCUCCUUAUAGAGUUUUACUUUAGUAAUAAAUUGGUAACCAUUACUAUCCUUCUUCUUUUAUCGAGACAUAACUGACUACCACUUUUGAAACUUCUAGAUAUAGCAAUAACUUUUCCUUAUUUAUGGGUUGGCUAAUAAUGAAAUUUCUCCUAGGCGAUCUUUCAAAGCCUGAAAUGCUUGCUCACUUUCACUCCCUUAUUCGAACUUUUUCUAUCCUUUCAACAAUUGAAAGAAGGAAGAACAGUUAUUCGUUUCUUGUGAUACAAAUCUGCUAAAAGCAGCAACCCUUCCUAAUAAGCUUUGUACUUCUAUUAUUUUUUUUCUGGGACAGAAUUUUAAUAAGAGCUCAAAUUUUGUUAGGGUUUGCUUUGAUACCUUGCUAAUUGACCAUGUCUCCUAUGAAUUUUUUAGAUUUGAUAUCAAAGGUGUAUUAAAGUGGAUUGAGUUUCAUUCUAUAUUUUCGUAAUAUGUUGAAGGUUUCUUCCAAAUGUUUUAAAUAGCUUUCAGUUUGGAGGCUUUUGAUGAGCAUUUUAUCGAUAUAUGCCAUCAUCAUCGAUCUGCAGAUAUUUUGUUUACUAGCAUUUGAUAAGUGGCUCCAUUCUUUAGCCCUAAUGGCAUUACAUUAUGACAAUACAAUUGUUGAUCUGUUAUGAAUGUCAUGUCCAUAGAUGAGGAUUUGAUUAUAUCUCGAAUAUCCAUCCAUAAAACUUAUUAAUUCAUGUCCCGCAGUUGCAUCUACCAAAUGAUAAAUUUUGGGGAGCAAGAAAUCGUAUUUAGGACAUGAUUUAUUUAAGUCCGUGAAGUCUAGCACGUUCACCUUUUUUUGUUGCUCUUUGAUACUAAUACUAGGUUAUAUACCCGAAUGAGGUACUAAGCCUCCUGGAUAACGCCAUUUUCUAACAAUCUAUUUACCUCUUUUUUUAAUGCUUCAUACUUCUUAGCACUCGUUGGCCUCCUUCUUUGCAUUUUGUGUUUUAUCUUCUGAUCAAUACAUGCCUCUUUAGGAUAUAUAUCUACCAUCUUAGCAUGCUUCCAGACGAACACAUCUAGAUUCCCUGCCAGGAAGCUUUUUGCAAACCUUUCGUACGCUAAAUUCCUUGCCAACUUUUAGGGCCGUACUUAUAUCUUUUAAACUAACGAAAAAACUUUCCAGUUCCUCCACCACAGCCGCCUCUGAGUUAUGCUAGGAUCAAUUGAGUCAUUGAUUUCAAGUUUCUUCUCUAGAUUACUCAUUUCGACUAUAGCAAUUAUAUACUUCUUGGGAGAUUUUAUGGCUCUUUCUCUCACAUUAUUUUCAUGAUUCCUACACAGAAUCCCUUGAUUUUGUUUUAAGGACACUCCACCCUUAUUCAUAAAAAAUCUCACAUACGCUUGACAGAGAGAAAUGAUUAUGUUCGCCUAUUUCAUGGCAGGAUGUCCAAGGACUCCAUUGUAUGCAAAUUUUUCCUUAGUGAGUCUCUCUAGUCUAAAAAGAAGUGACAUGAUACUUUUUAGCCAUUAUUACCUUAGUUCUUUAAAAAAUGUGACAAGAUUAUGUCACUUUUUGACAAUAUGAACUUCAUAAAAUUGUUACCAAAUUUAGCUUAUAUGUAAAUAUAAGGACACUUCAGUUGUUUUAUUGAGAUCUAUAACAAUAAUUACAACUUAAUCUCUAUUUAAUAGUGUCAAAACUUAGCUUUUUAUUAAAAUGAAUGACAUAACCACUUUUCCAACAAAAAAGUGAUAUUUUUGUUUUAACAAAAUUUGUUGUAUGUGCAUUUUACUGGGACAAUAAUUUCAAUAGCUAAUCAUUUUUAUAUUCAUUAUUUUGUUUUCAUUCGCCUUCAUAAUAGAUGAAGAAGUUAAUUUUGUUCAUAUAUGUAGAAAUGAAAGAAUACAAAUGAAAUAGUGGCAGACUUUUUUAGGAAAAAUUGGCAAAGUAUGUCGCUUUUAAUUUGAAGCAAUGUAAAGCAAUGUCACUUUUUCAUGUAAAGCAAUGUUUGAAUUCAUAUUCAUAUUUAAAUUUUCACAAAUAAAUAUGUAUCUCUCUUCAAUUGAUUCUAAAGAACUCAAAUGACUAUAAUCUUUUGGAAAAAAGUGAUAGAAAAUAUCACUUUUUAUUUUUAAUAUCUUAAUCCACGUGCAAAAAUAUAAAUAUAGUGUUAUCAUGUCACUUUUAAAUGUGAAACAAGCUCACAAACAUACUUAUACGUUUGUAGUUAUUUGAAAUAAAGGAACUCAAAUGAAAUAAACUGCGACAUGUUUAAAAAAAAAGUCACAGUGUCACUUUUCUCAUUCUCAACUUCACAGACAUCUUUGCAUAUAUCACUUGAAUUGAUUCAGCUGAUUUUUCAUAUAUAUUAACUCAAUCUAAUUCAUACAAAUCUGAAUUUUAUUUUAUAGUAACUAGAAAUUAUUAAUUUAAAGAUAAAAUUUCAUCCGUACUAGAGCAAAAGUACCUCAACAACGUAAAAAUCAAACAAAAUAUGAACUAAUUGAAUUAAAAAGUAGAAUGUAUAAACAUGUAGAUUUGAGUUGAUCAUUUGCAUAAUAGAGGAAGAAAAAGUAGUUAAAGCAGCCCUUGAUCUUCUUUGGGCUUGAUUAGUACAAGAUUUCAUUUUAUGAUUUUCAUUUUGCUUGAUUUCAAUUUUGGAAGAGUUGAAAUUUUAGUUGUUGAUCGGCUUCUAUACUCUCUAAGUUAGGACCGUAAAUCCUACGGUGCAAUUGAAAGGAAUUAUUGUAUUCACCUUUUAACACAUGUUUGUUCAAAAUGAUCACAAACGUAUGGAUAUUUAUGUAAGUACCCUAUUAAAUACGGGGCCAACUACUAUUUAAUGAGUGGGUCAAAUCCACUUAAAUUUCUAGUAAUAAGCAGUUAGGAUUUGAAAAAAUAUAACAUAUCCCACAAUUAUUAUAAUCUUAUUCGUACUUUUUGGUUGUAGUACUUAGCAUUUCUUUGCUUAUAAAAUGCUGCCCGAAGCUCAGCUUCAUUAUCUUCUCUUCUAGCAGAUCGAGCUCAGUACGCAAUGCCUUUUCAUUGUUCUCUUUGUCAAAGCGUAAAGUUCAAUUAAGGAGACUCCCAUUUUGAGAGGAAUUGUGGUUUCGACACAAAAAGUAAGGAAAAAUGGGGUUUCUCUAGUAUUGGUGUGAGAGGUGGUGCAGUCGGACCACAUUAUGCUAGGGAGUUCAUCAGUCCAUGUGCCUUUGAGAGCAUCUAAUCGAGCUUUGAAGUAUGCUUGAUGAUUUUAUUGAUUGCUUUGACCUGCCCAAUUAGCUUGCAGGUGAUUUAGAGUGGAGAAAUAUUUUUGAAUGUUUAGCUAUUCGCAAAAGAUCCUCAAACAUGCGUUAUCAAACUAUUUCUUAUUAUCAGUGACAAUGGAAUGGAGAAUUCCAAAUCUACAAAUAAUUAAUUUCCAAAUGAAGUCCGUGGUUUUAUGCUCAGUUAUCAUUGCAAGAGGCUCGGCUUCGGUCCAUUUGGUAAGGUAGUCGACAACAACUAUAGUGAACUUAAUUCCACCUCGUCAGGUAGGAAUGGGUCUGACCAAGUCUAUCUCCCAUUUUAAGAAUUGCUAAGGUCUAAUUAUGUGAGUGAGAUCCUCUGGAAGAGUUGGAUGAUGGGUGUAAAUUUGUGGCACUAAUCAUACCUCUUUAUAAAGUUUAGAGCGUCAUUUUUGAAGGAGUGCCUAAAAUAUCCUUGUCUCAAGAACAUGUGGGCCAAAACCUGUCCUCCCGUGUGAUUUCCAUAGAAUCCUUCAUGCACUUUCUAUAGAACGUAUGAGGAUCUUCUUUGUUUAGGCACCUUAGUAAUGGGAUUGCAUAUCCUCUCUUAAGAAGACACCAUCUAGGAGAGCAUAUCACGCUAAUCUUAUUCUCAACUUUCUAGCUUCGACUGGGUAAGCAAGUCCUUUCUCAAUUCUUAGGAAUUGUACAAUCUCGUCCAUCCAAGAAGGUUUAGGUCUAUGGCCAUUAACGUUACAAUAUUUUCUUCAAUAGCAAGAUGUCCAAUUCUUCCAAAAGGGAUACAUUUUCACCUUUUCGCAAGUCAUGAGCCUAACUAGAGCAUUAGCGUGGCUGUUCUGAGAUCAAGGUAUUUGCUUUACCUUGAUUAUAUUGAAGUUACUUAAUUCUCUUCGAGCAAUUUUAAGAUAGCUGUUCAUCCUGUCUUCUUUAGUCAGAAAACCUCGUUGAUUUGUUUUAAUAUAAGUUGGGAGUCGUUCAUUAUCAAUCUGGAUAUUUUUAAUUCUUUGGUCGUUUUAGGCCAGCUAUUAAUGCUUUACAUUCUGCCAAGUUAUUAGGAGCUUUGAAGCCAAAGGUCAAUGCUUGACAAAAGUAGAGGCAAUUUGGGCUGACUAGAAUCACUUUAGCACCCGCUAUGGCCUCAGUUGAGGAACAACUCCCAAGUUCUUUCUUCUUGUAACUCUUUUUGAGGAUUUAAACUGAAUUUUGGUACGAAAUUAACUAGGGCUUGGCCUUUUAUAGCUAUUCUGGUCUAUAUGAUAAAUCAAAUUGAUGAAACUCGAUGGCUCAUUUUACCAGAUGCCCUGGGUGUCAGGUUUUUGUAAGACUUUCCUUAACGGGUAGUAGGGUCUUAGCUUUCUUAUUGGCAUAACUAGGGCAUAGGUGAGCUUUUCCAUGGAAAAGUACUGCAGCUUAGCAUUGAGAAGUGCUUUGUUGAUGUAAUAGGUGGGUAUUCGAUACCAUCUUUUUCCCUAACAAGUAUGCUCAAAGCAUGCUUAGAUACAACUGGAUAAAGUGACAGCUUUUCAUUGGCCAUAGGCUUUGAAAGGAGAGGAGGUGGAGAUAGAUGUGUUUUUUCAACUCUUCAAAGGCUUUGCUAUAUUCUUGGUCUAUUCAAACUUCUUUUCUCCUUGGAGUGUGUCGAAGAAAGGUUUACAUUAGUCAGUGGACCGGAGACUAAUCUAUUUAAUGCCAUAAUUCAUCCUAUGAGACUUUGUAUUUUUAGGUUGAGUUGGAGCAUCAUUUUGAGGAUUGCUAGAUAUUUUAUAUUGGCUUCUAUCCCUCGAUGGUUUACCAUGUUACCUAAGAAUUUACUGGAGUUGAUUCCGAGUGGACACUUGAGGAGGUUGAGCUUUAUUUUGUAUUUUUGAAGGAUUGCAAACAUAUGUGUCGGAUAUGGUCUUCAGCUUUGAUGCUUUUUACUAGCAUGGUAUCGAUGUAUGAUUCCACGAUUUUUCUGAUCUGUUGGGCAAACAUUGAAUUCACUAGCUUUUGGUAUGUUGCUUCGGUAUUCUUUAGGCCAAAUGACAUCAUCUUGUAGCAAUACAAGUCUCGAUCAGUUAUGAAUAAAUCGUGUUUUUUAUCAGGUAAGUACAUGAAAAUUAGAUUGUAGUCGGAGUAGGCAUCCAUAAAGUUAAGAUGCUCAUGCCCAGCUGUUGUGUCGACCAUUUGAUCUACUUUUGGUCAUGGGAAAUUAUCCUUAGAACAAGCCUUGUUGAGGUCAGUAAAAUCUAUAUAUACCUGCCAUUUUCCAUUACUUUUAGGUCUUCUAAGGUAUUAUGUGAGUAAUCCAUAUCUCAGUUUGAUCCACUAAGAUAGGUCUUUUCAAUUGAGACUCCUUGGUUCAGUUGUAUUGUCCUCCGUGUAGCAUAUGCAAUCUAGAAUUGUGCAAGUCAAUGUUGCAGGAUUGAGCUUCAGCUUGAUCUCCUCGAACUUCACCUACUCAGUCGGAGGUGGGAAACUUUAUGUAGUGGUGAUAAAUUGAUGUUGUACCUUUAGCUCAUGGAGUAUGGGUCUUCUCAUAAUAGCAUUGAAAUUGGAUAGUAAGUCGACCAACACAAAAUCAGCAAUGAUUCUUCUUUGGCAAGGUACUUCACCGAGCUCUUUGAUCAACGCGAUCUUACCUCAGGCUUAAAUAGGAUAUCCAAAAAAGCUUUGCAGCCUUCUAUGGUAAGGCUAUAGUUCUUUGUCCUCGAUUCCGAUUCUUUCCAAGGUUUCUAAGUGUAGCACACUGAUGGAACUUCCAUUGUCCAUAAUGGUCCAUCUUAUGCGAAUUUUGACAAUCGGCAUAGUUAUAACCAAAGCAUCACUUUGAUUUUGCAUCACUCUAGGAGUCUUCUUCUGAGAAGGCGAACCAUUUUAAGUUUUAUGGACCGUGAGGUCGAGUUUGUGGCAACAUACCUCAUAAUUCUGGCAUAUUUAGUUUCUUCGGUUUGCCUUUGACAUUUUUUGAGACCUUUAUGUACAUUGGUUUCCUCUUACUAAUAUUCUAAUCUCAGCCUGUGACAGAGGAUUUGUACUUGGCUGACUUGGUAGGGCAGGUGGCAAGUUAGUCUGAUGGAUUGAAAUAGGGGUGAGUGGUUUCUCCAAGUUUGGAUAUGAAUUUCCUUAGCUGACAUCAUUUGAUCAAUGAUGCGAUUUGUUUUGUCUGUUUUUGACAGUCGAUCAUGUAAUGGUAGUUGUCAUGUGAAAGAUACAAUACCUAUUUUGAUUUGUCCUAUGGAAGCUCUUCUUAAUCGGUCGAGGUCAGUGGAAGGCCUUCUUGUGUCAUACUUGCAUGAAUACCUCUUCUAAAAAGGCAUUUAAAUGAUAAUACUGAUGAAAUCUUUUAUGAUAAGGGUGAAGUCAGUCAGUGUCUUCCUUUUCCUUUUUGCAUUUAGGCAUGGACUUUUUGUCCAUCUUUUUAUCUUUGGGAUGAGAUGAACGAUUAGGAUUGGCCUUUCCUUUAUCUUGAUCUAAGGUUGCCUCCUCUGUUCCAAUAUGUUUUCCUGCCAGACUUUGGAACUCAUGAUAUGUCUUAGGUCCAUCUUUAGAGACUGACCUCCAAAUAUGUAUCUUUGGCCACAUUCCUAAGAGGACAGCCAUUAGGGCAGUAUCAUCUAAUAUUUUUCCACCUCCAAGAAUUGUUUGUUAAACUUGCUAAGGAAACUAUUCAGGGAUUCGCUGCGUCCUUGUUCAAUACUUACCAGACAUUCCUUGGAUGUGGUCCUAGCUUUAGAGUCAAUACAUUGAGACAAGAACUCCUUAUGUAGAUCAUCCUAGUUUUUGAUGGACCUCUGAUGCAAUCUUCUAAUCCACCUUUGAGCUAUCCCCUGACGUCAAGGGAGAAGUCGACAUAUGAUGGCAUCGCUUGCUCCUUACAACUCCAUCUAGGAUGUGUAUUUGUUUAGAUGGCUAAGGGAAUCCUUCCUUUCUUAACUGGUGAGUUGAGGCAUUUUCAACUUUUUGAGUAGUAGUUUAGCUAAGAUGUCUUCUAUGAAAGGGAAAUGGUGGCCAAAAAAGUAUUCUUCAACAGAGCUUUGUGUUUGGCUUCUAGUUCAGCUAUGCAUUUUUUUAAUGAGCUCAUCUCAGGUUCGUCAUUUUUUGGACCAUCUCCUUUUGUGAGGAUUGGUUUUCCUUCUCUUAGGAAAUGGUGAUUGUUGGAACCUAAUCUAUCGAACACGCCUCUAGUUUUCUUGUGAAUCCUUCCUGUUGGCGAGGACAGUUUCUCGUCUCAUUCAUCAUACUCCUUGAUGACUCUUCACCUAAGAAAUGAAGGCUUUUUUGGUGGAAAGUUGACCAGUUCGUUCCUGAGAUAUAGCUUCGAUUUUAGUGUCAGCUAGAAGAGAAGUGUGGACCUGGUUUCUCUCCAUUAUGCAAUGGUGUUAAUUAUGCGUUCUAUUGCUUCUCUCAUUGCAGAGAGCUAAGGGUUGAUAUAUUCAGCAUCAUUUUUCUUUAGAAUUUGUGAGGAACAUUUAUAUCGUGGGUUAGUUUGAGCUGGAUUUCUAGAGGUUGAACUAUUGCGCACAGCGAUUUUUCAUGUAAUUUUUUGUGAACUUUUAUAAGAGAUAUUGGGCUUUUGCUUAGAAGGCCUUCUUUCUAGCGCUAAACUAUUGACGUCAAAAAAUGACUAAUUUACUUUUGUCAAUUUAAUUGAUGAUUUGGAAGAGCUAAUUUGAGAUAAAAUAUGUAAAUUGUGUUGAAAGUGGUAAAAGUAUCUGCUGAAACAAUAAGAAAUAGUACUUUUGUGCUAAAUGGAGAGUGUUUGAAGAGAGUUUUGUACACUUGUAGAGUUCAAUCCCUAUGGUGGGACCAUUAUAAACCCUCUAUAGCAGGGAAUAGGUAAUUUGAUUUGUGUGAUAUCAAAUGUGAUACAGUGCCGACCUUAAUGUGGGUGCUGCUAACCUAAUUUUGAUCGGUUGUUGAGGUUGGCUCCUAUGUGCCAAGUUUGAGCUGAGGUGGGGAGUAAUCAUUAUGAAAUUGUAAUUAGUCACGAUUAGGGGUGUACUAUGAUGUUCAUCAUGUCUCCCGAAGUGAUUGGGUUAGAUACAGGUGUGGUGUCAGCCUUGAAGCAAGGGAAUCAUAGUGUAAUGAUGAUGUUUCCCAAAUGACAGUGACAGUUCCUUCCUUUCGAAGAUAAGUUGAGCUGAGCUUGAAAUUAUACCAAGUUGAUUUGAACUAAUUUGGGAGUUCCGCCCCUGACAUGAUGACCUUAUUAUGAGACUUAAACUCAAUCUUAAAUUGGUUUCAAUUAACUCAAUGAGCUUUUGAAUUGAUGGAGGUUAACAACAGAAACGAACAAGAAAAAUCAGGAUGCUAAAGUUUACAAAUUUUCUAUUCAGACAUUCUCAAGUCACUUCCAAAUAAAGAAGAAAGCGUGUGAAUAUCUAGAAAGAUAUUAACCAUGCAAGAGACUAACUUCUCACAAUUUCGGCUGACUAAAUACCCUUACCAUGGGCAGUGGGCAGAGCCGGUCCUGUGUUUGAUGGGCCCUGAGGCGAAUGAUGAAAAUUAGGCCUUCCAUCGACAAAAUUCAAAGGUGUAUAAUGCAACUCAUAGCUAACUUAAAAAACUAACAUUAAAACAACAAUGAAAUAUAUCAUAGAAAUGAUUUAUAUUAUAAACCAUCAAACCAAAAAUUUCAAACAAUUAGUUAAAUACUAUUCUUCUUACUGUUUUAGAGGCUAAAACAUCAAUCAAAUCUGAAUAACUUAGCUAUUUAACCAUUUCUUUUUCUAUUGAUAAUAUAGCCAACCCGUUUAAUCUUUCUUGUGACAUAAUUGAUCGGAGAUAGGUCUUGAUCAACUUCAAUUUUGAGAAACUUCUUUCCGCAGAUGCAAUUGUAAUCGGUACGGUUAACAAAAUUUUGUAAGCAAUAUAAGCAUUCGGGAAACAAACAUCCAAUGUCUUCAAAUAGUGUAGCACUUCAAUUGCUCUUGUUGCUUCAUUUGGUAAAUAAAUCUUCAAGACUUGUAAUUCCGAACAUAAAUCAUCUCCACUGAUGUCCGAAAGCCCAUCAUGUUCAAGAUAUUUCUCAAGAUUCAUACAAGAGUUCAACAAAUUUGAUAAAUUUGCACUCCUUAACCUCUUCAAAUUAAACAAAAAUCCAAAUAUAUCAUCAUAUUGUUUGAAUUGUUCAAAUCGAGUCCUUAGAGAAGAUAGAGCUUGAUCAAUUAUAAAAACAAAGUACUCAACUCUAAAUGAUUCUUCUGCUGAUUGCUUUACCUCAUUAAUACAGUUUUCAUCAAAUUGCUUUUUUUCUUCGAAUUAUGCGUUUUUCUGUAAAUACAGCUUCAAUUCCCAUUUCAUUUGCCUUUUUUGUCGCUUCAUCCUUGGUAAUGGCAAAUCCAAUUUCUCUAUAAUCUUGAAGAAAUGAAACAAGUCCUUACAAUAGGUCGAUAGCAUGAUCAAUAUCCAUGGAUUCGAUUUGAAGAAAUUUACUCACAAUAUUGACUGCAUGCAACAAUAUGUACCAUAUUACUAUGCUAAGCAAGAACUCAAAAUUCUGAAGUUUAUGUGUUACCAACGACUCGACUUCACUCUUUAUUUUAGGAUCUUCGUUAGUUUCUGCCAAAUCAAGUAAUGCUUCUCUUAUCUGUGCAGUUUGCUCCAUUAUAGGCUUCAUACUCUCAACAUGACUUUCCCAACGUGUUUGUGACAGCGGCUUCACUGUCAACCCUUUUACAUUAUCUUUAAAAAUUUGCAAUUACUUGGUAGAAGAUGAAAACAAAGUGUAGAUGCGAUGUAUCACUCCAAAGAAGGAUACAGUUUUGGAACAACAAUUCACCAUAUCACAUAACGGUAGAUUUAGACUAUGAGCGUCACAUGGAGUAUAGAAAGCUCGGGUAUUCAUUUCAAGUACUCUUCUUUGCACACCUUUGUACUUCCCGCUCAUGUUAGAUCCGUUAUCAUACCUUUGCCCUCUAAUGUCAUCAAUAUCCAGAUCGAGUUUGAUCAAAGCCUUUUGAAGCUCGAUUGUAAGUCCAAGUCCUGUUGUAUUAUCUACCUUCAAAAAUUCAAGCCAAUGUUCUUCAACUGUAGGUAAGUUUGCCGAAUCAUCUACAAAUCGUACUAUUAACGACAUAUGUUCCUCAUGACUUACAUCUGGAGUACAAUCAAGUAUAACUGUGAAAUAUUUUACAUGUUUAACUUUCUUGACAAUUGCACUUCUCACAUCAUUAGCCAACAACCGUAUCAACUCAUUUUGAAUUUCUUUGCCAAGAUACGUGUAUUGAAUCUCUUUUUCAUUAGCCUGCCGAAUGUGCUCUUUCAUUAUUGGAUCAAAUUCACUAAUCAUUUCCACCAUUUGUAAAAACAGACCAUUGUUCUCAACAUUUAGCCUCUCAUCAUCUCCUCGAAAUGACAAGGUGUGUUUGGCGAAUCUUUUUACAAUAGCGAUUAUCCUUGUUAAUACAUGCCUCCAAUGUUCUUUUUCCGCAUUGAUCAACAAUUCAACGCUUUUAUCAAUUGUAAUUUUUGUUCGAAGCCUAUUUUCCAAUUCAAUCCAGCUAGUCAUGCAACAUAAAUGCUCUUCAUUUCCUUCAUGACUUUUAAUAGACCGAUGCAAAUUAUGCCAAUCUUUGAAUCCAUCGUUACCAAGUUGGCCAACUCUGGUAAGUUUUUGGCUGUUUUAAACAAUUUGCAAAAAAAGCAAAAGAUCCUGUCCAUAGAUAUUGAAUAUACUAGCCAUCUUCUAUCAAUUGUUUGUCCAUUUCGUAGCAAUCGCUUAUAUUGUGAAGAAUCAAAAUGCCUAUUUGUACAAUCUUUCGGAAACGAGAUAUCAUCAACUCUUUUUGGACCCCUUUCAACUAAGUAAUUCCUUGUUCUCUGAUCAAUAAUUUUCCAAUUCCCGGGAUCAUCCAAAUUUAGAGAAAAGCAACCCUCUUCUUCCUUGUCAUCUACUUCAUUAACACAUGCAUGUUUCAUCACCUCUUCUUCCUUAUCAUCUAUUACAUUAACAUAGGCAGGUUGACUCACUUCUUCAUCCUUAUCAUCUACUUCAUUAACACAUGCAGGUUGAAUCUCUACUUUAUCCUCAUUCAACGUAUUCAUAUUGUUGCUUUUAAAGUACUUGCCAAUAUCCGCUGCUUGACUUUGAAUUAAUGAAAUUUCAUUUCGUUUCCUUUUUCUCUUUUGAGCACCAGACUCAUAUUUAGGAAGCAUGGUGUAUGAGUCUAUAUCUGAUGCUCAAUGAUUAACCUAAAAAACAUUUACAAAAUAUCUCAAAUCAUCACACAGUUAGAGUUUUCAAUAUAGUUAUUAUGUGCGCCUAUGCAAUUGUUGAUCCUCCAAUAAUCAAUCAUAUAAGCUGACCAGGCUACAAUUAUAUAAGCCGACAAGGCUUCAAACAUUUUCAAUUUCUUCAAUAACAAGUUAAGGCAAGCCAUUGCUUACCUGACAAGUAGAAUUUCGACGAAAACUUUGGAGUUACACAUUCAAGAAUUCGACUGUCACAAGACUCACAACUCCCGACCCUGAAACAAAAAUUUCACAUCAAACGCACAUCUAAGUAAGAUAAAUACAUUAAUAAGGAAUGAUGAGGAUGAGGAGUGCAGGAAAGAAGGGAGGAUGAGAAAAUUCUUCUCGACUUUUAUUUCCAAUCCUCACAUUAAUAAGCAUGGUAUGAAAAUUUUAAACAUACAAAAGCACCCCUAAGUAAGAUAAAUACAUCAUUGUCAUGUUAUUCUCCCUCGUCCCAGAAGCAUAAAAGGCUGAAAUAAAAGAAAAGCCAAAUCCUUGUUAUGAUAAAUAAUAAAAAUUCGUUUGAGUAAAGAUAGAUUGCUGUCAUUAUAGCAAGAUAGAACUGUAUUUGGCCUUGGCAUUGCGAGAUGGGUAUAUGUUCUGGUAAAGUUAUUCUAUUACUCAUAAAACUUUAUCAGAUAUUCAUUGAAAAAGAAACCUAAAAAAUGUUUCCUAAACAAUGAUUAUGUCUGAUAGAACCUGAAGGGUUUCAAACCAAACUGAAUAUUUUAGGAAACAGAAAAAUUUCAGGUAAAGAACCGAGUUAAACAUGAAAGAUGUGAAAUAU